Molecule: long non-coding RNA, 46445 nt
Filed under: Triticum aestivum (bread wheat)
Lineage: Eukaryota; Viridiplantae; Streptophyta; Magnoliopsida; Poales; Poaceae
Description: long non-coding RNA (TAES_LNC012120)
Source: RNAcentral
UUUUUUCUUUUUUUUCUUUGGCCUUUCUUUUUUUCUUUCUUUUUGGCCUUUUUUUAUUUGGGGACAAUUCUCUAAUAAUGAUGAUCAUCACACUUCUAUUUAUUUACAACUCAUGAAUUACAACUCAAAACUAGAACAAGAUAUAACUCUAUAUGAAUGCCUCCGGCGGUGUACCGGGAUAGGCAAUGAAUCAAGAGUGACAUGUAUGAAAAUUUAUGCAUGGUGGCUUUGCCACAAAUACGAUGUCAACUACAUGAUCAUGCAAGGCAAUAUGACAAUGAUGAUGUGUGUCAUGAUGAUGAACGGAGCGGUGGAAAGUUGCAUGGCAAUAUAUCUCCGAAUGGCUAUGGAAAUGCCAUAAUAGGUAGGUAUGGCGGCUGUUUUGAGGAAGAUAAAAGGAGGUUUAUGUGUGAUAGAGCGUAUCGUAUCACGGGGUUUGUAUGCACCGGCGAAGUUUGCACCAACUCUCAAGGUGAGAAAGGGCAAUGCACGGUACCGAAGAGGCUAGCAGUGAUGGAAGGGUAAGAGUGCGUAUAAUCCAUGGACUCAAAAUUAGUCAUAAAGAAGUCAUAUACUUAUUGAAAAAAUCUACAAGUCAUAAAAAACCAAGCACUACGCGCAUGCUCCUAGGGGGAUAGAUUGGUAGGAAAAGACCAUCGCUCGUCCCGGCCGCCACUCAUAAGGAUGCCAAUCUAAGAACACCUCAGGUUUCAAAUUUGUUACACAACUUUUACCAUACGUGUAUGCUACAUGACUUGCCAACUUCAACACAAGCAUUCUUUAAAUUCACAAUUGCCCAACUAGCAUGACUCUAAUAUCACCACCUCCAUGUCUCAAAACAAUUAUCAAGUAUCAAAUUGAACAUAGCAUCCGAUUCACUUCCUAUGAUAGUUUUUAUUAUACCCAACUUGGAUGCCCAUCAUUCUAGGACCAAUUUUAUAACCAUAGCAAAUACCAUGCUGUUCUAAGAGACUCUCAAAAUAAUAUAAGUGAAGCAUGAGAGAUUAUCAAUUUCUACAAAAUCAAGCCACCGCCGUGCUCUAAAAGAUAUAAGUGAAGCACAUAGAGUAUUCUAAUAAAUUCCAAACAAGUGGCUUUAUCCCAAAAGGUGUGUAUAGCAAGGAUGACUAUGGUAGCAAGGAUGACUAUGGUAAACUAAAAAGCAAAGACUAAUAUCAUACAAGACGCUCCAAGCAAAACACAUACCAUGUGGCGAAUAAAAAUAUAGCUCCAAGUAAAGUUACCGAUAGACGAAGACGAAAGAGGGGAUGCCUUCCGGGGCAUCCCCAAGCUUAGGAUUUUUGUUAUCCUUUAAUAUCAUGGGGUGCCAUGGGAAUCCGCAAGCUUAGGCUCUUUCCACUCCUUAUUCCAUAGUCCAUCAAAUCUUUACCCAAAACUUGAAAACUUCACAACACAAAACUCAACAGGAAAUCCCAUAAGCUCCGUUAGUGCAAGAAAGAAAAACCACCACAUAAGGUACUGUAAUGAACUCAUUCUUUAUUUAUAUUAGUGUUAAAAUUACUGUAUUCCAACUUAUCUAUGGUUCGUACCCUACAUACUAGCCAUAAAUGCAUCAAAAUAAGCAAACAACAUACGAAAAACAGUAUCUGUCAAAAACAGAAGAGUCUGUAGAAAUCUGUAACUCUCGAAUACUUAUGGAACUCUAAGAAUCCUACCAAAAUAGGAAGUCCUAGGCAAUUUUUCUAUUGAUCUACAGCAAAAAGAAUCAACGCAAAAGCACGUUUAUGUGAAUUACUAAAAGUAUUUUCGUGCAUGCAAAGUAUCUGUUUUUCAGCAGAAUCAAAUUAACUAUCACCAUAGGUUAUCCUAUAGGUUCUACUUGGCACAAACACUAAUUAAAACAUGAAAACACAUCUAAACAGAAGCUAGAUGAAAUAUCUAUUACUAAACAGAAGCAAAAAGUAAUAAACAAAAAUAAAAUUGGGUUGCCUCCCAACUAGCGCUAUUGUUUAACGCCCCAAGCUAGGCAUAAAAGCGAGGAUAGGUCUAAGUAGUGCCAUAUUUAAUUUUCAGUUUUUUAGCGAGUCAUGCUCAAAUCCGGUAGGUUCUUUACAUUUCCCUUCAUACUCGGAAAUUUUUAGAUCUAAAGAAUCCAACCGCUUAUUGCAAAGAGUAAUCAACAUAUUCAUGCGGUGAAGAUUUCCUCUAACACUCUUAAGAGGUUCAAGAGACUUUUGUAAGAUUUUUGUUACUUCGCAAAUAUUUUCAAACACUUGUGUUUCUUAUUGGGUAGGAUGUGGUCCCCCUUUAUGAGUUAGUGUUCCCACUAUUCCCUCUAUAAUUUCAUGCGCAAUACUAGGAUCAAUUUCAAUAAAAUUUCCCUUGGCAAUGCAAUCCAAGAGUUGUCUAUGAGACACGUUUAGCCCAACAUAAAAAUUGCAAAGUAGAAUUCUAAAAUUCACUUCUAGGGUGCAAUUACGAUAAGAUUCCAUCAUCCUAUACCAAGAAUCUUUUAAGUUUUCUCCUUUCCUUUGCUUGAAGUGAGGAACUUCAAACUCGGGAGACAUAGGAGCGGAUAAGGGACUAGCCAUAGCGACAAGUAAUCCAACACACAAGCAAACAAAAAGGCAAGCGAAAGAGAGAGGAGAUUGGGAAAGAGAGGGCGAAUAAAACGGCAAGGGUGAAGUGGGGGAGAGAAAAACGAGAGGCAAAUGGCAAAUAAUGUAAUGUGGAGGAGAUGAGUUUGUGAUGGGUACUUGGUAUGUCUUGACUUGAGCGAAGACCUCCCCGGCAACGGCGCCAGAAACCCUUCUUGCUACAUCUUGAGCUUGCAUUGGUUUUCCUUGAAGAGGAAAGGGUGAUGCAGCAAAGUAGCGUAAGUAUUUCCCUUAGUUUUUGAGAACCAAGGUAUCAAUCCAGUAGGAGGCUCGUCAAAAGUCCCAUGCACCUACACAAACAAACAAGAACCUCGCAACCAAUGCAAUAAAGGGGUUGUCAAUCCCUUCACGGCCACUUGCGAAAGUGAGAUCUGAUAGAGAUAAUAUGAUAAGAUAAAUAUUUUUGGUAUUUUUAUGAUAUAGAUUGGAAAAGUAAAGAUGCAAAUAAAAGUAGAUGAUAAACUUAUAUGAUAAAAGAUAGACCCGGGGGCCAUAGGUUUCACUAGUGGCUUCUCUCAAGAUAGCAUAAGUAUUACGGUGGGUGAACAAAUUACUGUCGAGCAAUUGAUAGAAAAUUGAAUAAUUAUGAUAUUAUCUAGGCAUGAUCAUGUAUAUAGGCAUCACGUCCGUGACAAGUGGACCGACUCCUUCCUGCAUCUACUACUAUUACUCCACACAUCGACCGCUAUCCAGCAUGCAUCUGAGUAUUAAGUUCAUAAAGAACAGAGUAACGCAUUAAGAAAGAUGACAUGAUGUAGAGGGAUAAACUCAUGCAAUAUGACAUAAACCCCAUCUUUUUAUCCUCGAUGGAAACAAUACAAUACGUGCCUUGCUGCCCCUGCUGUCACUGGGAAAGGACACCGCAAGAUUGAACCCAAAGCUAAACACUUCUCCCAUUGCAAGAAAGAUCAAUCUAGUAGGCCAAACCAAACUGAUAAUUCGAAGAGACUUGCAAACAUAACUUAAUCACACAUAAAAGAAUUUAGAGGAGAUUCAUAUAUUUCUCAUAGAUAAACUUGAUCAUAAACCCACAAUUCAUUGGAUCUCGACAAACACACCGCAAAAAGAGUUACAUCGAAUAGAUCUCCAAGAAGAUCGAGGAGAACUUUGUAUUGAGAUCCAAAGACAAAUAAGAAGCCAUCUAGCUAAUAACUAUGGACCCGAAGGUCUGUGGUAAACUACUCACAACUCAUCAGAAGGGCCUUGGAGAUGAUGUAGAGGCCCUCCAUGGUCGAUUCCCCCUCCGGCGGAGCGCCGACGAAGGCUCCAAGAUAGAAUCUCAUGGAUAUAGAAGGUUACAACGUUGGAAUUAGGUUUUUGUGGUGCUCCUCGAUGGUUUCAGGGUACAUGGGUAUAUAUAGGAGGAAGAAUUAGGUCGGUGGACACUCGAGGGGCCCACAAGGGUGGGGGCGCGCCCACCUGUAGGGGGCACCGGGCAGCCUCGUGGCCGUCUCCUCUGUUGCUUGAUGUCCACUCCAAGUCCCCUGGAUCACGUUUGUUCCAAAAAGACCGCUCCCGAAGGUUUCAUUCCGUUUGGACUCCGUUUGAUAUUCCUUUUCUUCGAAACACUCAAAUAUGCAAAUAAACAGCAAUCCGGGAUGGGCCUCCGGUUAGUAGGUUAGUCCCAAAAAUGAUAUAAAAGUGUAAAGUAAAGCCCAUAAACAUCCAAAACAGGUAAUAUAAUAGCAUGCAACAAUCAAAAAUUAUAUAUACGUUGGAGACGUAUCAAAUGGCAACGAUACUAAUAUGUGUCAUGUCCCUUUCUGUCACUGGGAUUGAGUAUCGCGAGAUCAAACCCAUCACAAAGCACCUCUCCCAUUGCAACAAAAAUCAAUUUAGUUGGCCAAACCAAAUCAAUAGAUCGGAGGGAAAUACAAAGCUAUAACAAUCAUGCAUAAAAGAGUUUAGAGAAAACUCAAAUAAUAUUCAUGGAUAAUCUGAUCAUAAGCUCAUAAUUUGUCAGAUCCCAACAAACACAUCGCAAAAAGUCAUUACAUCGAAUAGAUCUCCAAGAACAUCGAGGAGAACAUUGUAUCGAAGAUCAAAGACACAUAAGAAUCCAUGUAGCUACUAGCUAUGGACCCGUAGGUCUGUGGUGAACUACUUACACAUCAUUGGAAGGGAAGCAAGGUUGAUGUCGAGCCCCUCCAUGGUCGAUUCCCCCUCCGGUAGAGUACCGAGGGAGGCCUCCAGAUGGGAUUUUGCAAGAAAAAAACUUGCAGCAGCAGAAAAAGUAUUCUGGGUGGACCUUUGAUGUCAGGGGAAUAUUUGAGAAUUUAUAGAGGUGGAAUUAGGUCAAGAGGUGCCACGAGGGGCCCACAGGCUUGGGGGCGCCCCCUAGGGCGCGACCCUCGAGCUUGUUUCUCCCUCAUGGCUCUUAAGGUCUUCUCUUGAACCUUCUAGGAUCUCUUCGGGUCUAGAAAAAAUUAAUCCAAAGUUUUUUCUCCGUUAGGAAUCUAUUUGGUAUUCAUUUCCUGAAAAGCCAAAAACAGGCAAAAGACAACAACUUGCACUAGGCACUAGGUUAAUAGUUUAGUCCCAAAAAUGAUAUAUAAUUGCAUAUAAACAUUCAAGACUGAAAUUAUAAUAUCAUGCAACAACAAAAAACUAUAGAUACAUUGGGGACGUAUCAAGCAUCCCCAAGCUUAAUUCCUGCUUGUCCUCGAGUAGGUUAAUGAUAAAAACAGAUUUUUUGACGUGGAAUGCUACCUAUCAUGUUCAUCAUGUAAUUUCUCUUUGUGGCAUGAGUAUAAAGAUCCAAAUGAUUCAAAGCAAUAGUCUAUAGUUUGACAUAAAAAACAAUAAUAAUAAGGCAUACCAACAAACAAUCAUGUCUUUCAAAAUAUCAAUGCUAAAGAACAUUAUCCCUACAAAAUCAUAUAGCAGUGUCAUGCUCCAUCUUCUUAACACAAAGUAUUUAUCAUGCACAACCCCCACAAGCCGAGCAAUUGGUUCAUAAUUUUUAACGCACUUCAUCUUUUUAAAGUCUCACACAUUAUAUGAGCGCAAGCCAUGGAUAUACCAGUAUAGGUGGAGUAUAGUAUGAUGUUGGGGGUUGUAUGGAGAAGACAAAAAAGGAAAAAAAGUCUCACAUUAAUGAGGCUAAUCAACGGGCUAUGGAGAUGCCCAUCAAUUGAUGUCAAUGCAAGGAGUAGGGAUUGCCAUGCAAUAGAUGCACUAAGAGCUAUAAGUGUAUUAAAGCUCAAAAAUAAAACUAAGCGGGUGUGCAUCCAACUUGCUUGCUCAUGAAGACCUCGAGCAUUUGAGGAAGCCCAUCAUUUGAAUAUAAAAGCCAAGUUCUAUAGUGAAAAAUCCCCACUAGCUAGUUAUAUGAAAAUAAAGCAUAGGAGACUCUCUAUAUGAAAAACAUGGUGCUACUUUGAAGCACAAGUGUGGAAAGGAUAGUAACAUUGCCCCUUCUCUCAUUUUCCUUUUUUAUUUUUAGUUGGCUGAUGACCGACAAGUGUAGGAGAUCUAUCAUAGUCCUUUUAAUAAGUAAGAGUGUCGAACCCAAUGAGGAGCAGAAGGAAAUGACAAGCGGUUUUAAGUAAGGUAUUCUCUGCAAGCACUGAAAUGAUCGGUGAUAGAUAGUUUUGUGAUAAGGUAAUUUGUAACGGGUAACAAGUAAUGAAAGUAAAUAAGGUGCAGCGAGGUGGCCCAAUCCUUUUUAUAGCAAAGAACAAGCCUGGACAAGUUCUUAUAUAGAGAAAAGCGCUCCUGAGGACACAUGAGAAUUAUCGUCAAGCUAGUUUUCAUCACGUUCAUAUGAUUUGCGUUCGUUACUUUGAUAAUUUGGUAUGUGGGUGGACCGGUGCUUGGGUACUGGCCUUUCUUGGACAAGCAUCCCACUUAUAAUUAACCCCUAUUGCAAGCAUCCACCACUACAAAAGAAGUAUUAAGGUAAACCUAACUAUAGCAUGAAACAUAUGGAUCGAAAUCAGCCCCUUACGAAGCAACGCAUAAACUAGGGUUUAAGCUUUUGUCACUCUAGCAACCCAUCAUCUACUUAUUACUUCCCAAUGCCUUCCUCUAGGCCGAAAUAAUGGUGAAGUGUCAUGUAGUCGACGUUCACAUAACACCACUAGAGGAGAGAUAACAUACAUCUCAUCAAAAUAUCGAAGGAAUACCAAAUUCACAUGACUACUUAUAGGAAGACUUCACCCAUGUCCUCAGGAACAAACAUAACUACUCACAAAUCAUAUUCAUGUUCAUAAUUAGAGGGGUAUUAAUAUGCAUUAAGGAUCUGAACAUACGAUCUUCCACCGAAUAAACCAACUAGCAUCAACUACAAGGAGUAAUCAACACUACUAGCAACCCACAUGUACCAAUCUAAGGUUUUGGGACAAAGAUUGGAUACAAGAGAUGAACUAGGGUUUGAGAGGAGAUGGUGCUGGUGAAGAUGUUGAUGGAGAUUGAUCCCCUCCCGAUGAGAGGAUCGAUGGUGAUGACGAUGGGGAUGAUCUCCCCCUCCCGGAGGGAUGUUUCCCCGGCAGAAUAGCUCCGCCGGAGCCCUAGAUUGGUUCCGCCAAGGUUCCGCCUCGUGGCGGUGGAGUUUCGUCCCUAAAGCUUGCUUAUGAUUUUUCUAGGGAAAAUACUUCAUAUAGCAUAAGAUGGGCACCGGAGGCCUGCUAGGUGGCCCACGAGGCAGGGGGGCGCACCCAGGGGGGUAUGGCGCGCCCCCACCCUCGUGGACGGUGGGUGGCCCCCUCUGAUAUUUCUUCUGCUCAGUAUUUUUUAUUAAAUCGAAAAAUGACUUUCGUGGAGUUUCAGGACUUUUGGAGUUGUGCAGAAUAGGUCUCUAAUAUUUUCUCCUUUUCCAGCCUAGAAUCCCAGCUGCCGGCAUUCUCCCUCUUCAUGUAAACCUUGUAAAAUAAGAGAGAAUAGGCAUAAGUAUUGUGACAUAAUGUGUAAUAACAACCCAUAAUGCAAUAAAUAUAGAUAUAAAAGCAUGAUGCAAAAUGGAUGUAUCAACUCCCCCAAGCUUAGACCUCGCUUGUCCUCAAGCGGAAGCCGAAAUCGAAAAAUAUGUCCACAUCUUUAGAGAUAGAGGUGUCGAUAAAAUAAAAUACGGACAUGAGGGCAUCAUUAUCAUUCUUAUAACAUCAACAUAUAUAUAUUAUCAUAUGAUUUCUUAUGCUCAAGUAACAAUCUAUUCACAAUGUCAAGUAUGAAUCAGAAACAUCAUUGAAAACCAACAAACUAUAAUCUCGGUCAUUGAAGCAAUUGCAAUUUAUCAUAACAUCGGGAAGAGUCAAUAUAAGAGCUUUUCAGCUAGUCCACAUACUCAACUAUCAUUUAGUCUUUCACAAUUUCUAACACUCACGCAAUACUUAUGGUUAUGGAGUUUUAAUCGGACACAGAGAAAGAUAGGGGCUUAUAGUGUUGCCUCCCAACCUUUUACCUCAAGGGUAAUGUCAACAAUAAUAGUUCAUGCUAACUUACAUCCAAUUGGAUAUAUAUAUCAGGAUCUUUCCAACAUGAGGUGCUUGCCAAAGGAUAAAAUGUAAAAAGGAAAGGUGAAGAUCACCAUGACUCUUGCAUAAUUUAUAAGACAAAAGUAAAAGAUAGGCCCUUCGCAGAGGGAAGCAGAGGUUGUCAUGUGCUUUUAUGCUUGGAUGCACGAAAUCUUAAUGCAAAAGAACGUCACUUUAUAUUGCCACUUGUGAUAUGGAACUUUAUUAUGCAGUCCGACGCUUUUAUUGCUUCCAUAUCACAAGAUCGUAUAAACCUUAUUUUCUGCACACUAAUAAGUCAUACAUAUUUAGAGAGCAAUUUUUAUUGCAUGCAACAUGACAACUUACUUGAAGGAUCUUACUCAAUCCAUAGGUAGAUAUGGUGGACUCUCAUGGCAAAACUGGGUUUAAGGAUAUUUGGAAGCACAAGUAGUAUCUCUACUUGGUGCAAGGAAUUUGGCUAGCAUGAGGGGGGAAAGCAAGCUCAACAUGUUGGAUGAUCCAUGACAAUAUACUUUAAUUCAGAUAUGAGAAAACAUAACCCAUUACGUUGUCUUCCUUGUCCAACAUCAACUCUUUAGCAUGUCAUAUUUUAAUGAGUGCUCACAAUCAUAAAGGAUGUCCAAGAUAGUAUAUUUAUAUGUGAGAACCUCUCUUUCUUUAUUACUUCCUAUUAAUUGCAAAGAUGACCAAAACUAUGUUUGCCAACUCUCAACAACUUUUAAUCAUCAUACUCUUAUAUGUGAAGUCAUUACUCGCCAUAAGAUCAAUAUGAUCUCUUUUAUUUCUUUUUAUUCUUUUAUUCCCUUAAGAUCAUAGUAAGAUAGCAAAGCCCUUGAUUGAACACUAAUCUUUAUUAUAUAUAGCUCACGAACUCGACUACAUAGAGGGAUCAUAAAGCAAACUCAAUACUAAAUCAUACUAAAACUCUAUUCUACUAGAUCAAGAUAUUACUAAAAGGAUCGAACUAAGUAAAACGGUAAAGAUAGGAGUGUGAUGGUGAUGCAAUACUGGGGCACCUCCCCCAAGAUUGGCAGUUGCCAAGGGGAGUGCCCAUACCCAUGUGUUUAUGUCUCCUUCUGCGGAGUUGGUGGUGUGAUAUUCUUGGCGAUGAUGCCCCUCAGGAUACGAUUCUCCUCCUCGAUCUUAUUGACUUGCUGCUUGAGGUCCAUAUUUUCCUUGCGAAGCUUAUCCGUGACGGCUAAAGCUCCUUUCACCCAAGGAUGUUGCAUAGCUACUGGAGAACAAGUGACACUCUUUUUCAUAUUUUCAUAAGAAAGAAAUUUAACAUUGGAAGGGAUGACCGAGUUUGGAAUAGCUGAGCUCUGUAGUUCCCCCAUCGUGAAUCCGUCUUGGAACCGAGAGGUAACUUCUUGGUCCUCCUCCAUGGAAUCUAUCCUUUUCAAGUCGGCCUCCAUCUCCUCCUCCGUUGAUGGCCCAAAGUGAUAGGCAUCAUUGUUUGCUCCUGGACCUACUGUCGGAUGAGACACCCGACUCUCCCCGACCGAGUCUUGAGAAGACAUCUUGCUCUAAAUCUGCGACAGAAACAUCUCAAAACAAAAACAAAGGAUAUUUGCGUGAUACGGUGGUCAAAACCUUCGGGAGAUUAUAUAAUGAAUUUUACCGACCGAAAGAAGUAUCAUACAAGAAAACGGAGUCCGAAGAGCACACGAGGUGCCCACGAGGCAGGGGGCACACCCAGGGGGUAGGGCAUGCCCUCCACCCUCGUGGACGCCUCGUGUCCUUCCCAGACUACUUCUUAUUUUCCUAUUUUCUUAAAUAUUUGAAAACGGAGAAAAAAAUGCUAUUAGAACUGUUUUGGAGUCGGUUUACUUACCGUACCACAUACCUAUUCCUUUUUGGAGUCUGAAACAUUCUGGAAAGUGUCUCUUAUGUACUCCUCCGGGGUUACGGUUUCAAUAACAUUAGUUUCAACAUUUGUAGGAUUACCUGUGAUAUAAUGUUUGAUUCUUUGAACGUUCACCGCCUUUGGAUUCGUGCCUUUGAAGUUGUUGAUUUUUAUGGCACCAGAAUGAUAGACCUCCUCGAUGAUGUAAGGGCCUUCCCAUUUAGAGAGAAGUUUUUCUGCAAAAAAAUCUUAAACGUGAGUUGUAUAGCAAAACAUAAUGACCUACAUUAAACUCAUGCUUUUGUAUCCUCUUGUCAUGCCAUCUUUUAACCUUUUCCUUAAACAGUUUGGCAUUCUCAUAGGCUUGGGUUCUCCAUUCGUCACGUGAGCUAAUGUCACAUAACCUCUUCUCACUGGCAAGUUUGAAAUCAUAAUUGAGCUCUUUAAUAUCCCAAUAUGCCUUAUGUUCUAGUUUGAGAGGUAAGUGACAAGCUUUUCCAUAAACCAUUUUAUAUGGAGACAUACCCAUAGGAUUCUUAUAUGUAGUUCUAUAAGCCGAUAAUGCAUCAACAAGUUUCUUGGACCAAUUCUUUCUAGACCUAUUAACAGUCUUUUGCAAAAUCAACUUGAGCUCUCUGUUACUCAAUUCUACUUGACCACUAGACUGUGGGUGAUAAGGAGAUGCAAUUUUAUGAUUAAAAAUCAUACUUAGCAAGUUACAAAAAGCAUCAUGAAUAAAAUGUGAACCACCAUCAUUCAUUAGGUAUCUAGGGACUCUAAACCUCGGAAAAAUAACUUCUUUAAGUAUCUUAAUAGAGGUGUUAUGUUCAGCAUUACUAGUUGGAAUAGCUUCUACCCACUUAGUAAUGUAAUCAACAACAACUAAAAUAUGUGUAUACCCAUUAGAGGAAGGAAACGGUCCCAUAUAACCAAAGCCCCAAACAUCAAAUGGUUCAAUAACAAGAGAAUAAUUCAUAGGCAUUUCUUGUCAUCUACUAAUAUUACCAAUUCUUUGACAUUCAUCACAAGACAAGACAAACUUACGGGCAUCUUUGAAGAGAGUAGGCCAAUAAAAACCGGAUUGCAAUACCUUAUGUGCAGUUCUAUCUCCGGCGUGGUGUCCUCCGUAUGCCUCAGAGUGACACUUGCGUACACAACGUCUAAUAACACCAUCUAAUCCUUCUUUAUAAAGGUGUGGGUCAUCCCAGAAGUAAUGUCUUAAAUCAUAGAAAAACUUUUUCUUUUGCUGGUAUGUGAAACUAGGUGGUAUAAAUUUAGCAACAAUGUAAUUAGCAUAAUCAGCAUACCAUGGAGGAGUAUGAGAAGCAUUUAUGACAACUAAUUGUUCAUCAGGAAAGCUAUCAUCAAUAGGUAGUGGGUCAUCAAGAACAUUCUCUAACCUAGACAAGUUGUCUGCAACAGGGUUCUCAGCUCCCUUUCUAUCAAUAAUAUGCAAAUCAAAUUCUUGUAAUAGGAGAACCCAUCUAAUUAGUCUAGGUUUAGCAUCUUCCUUUUCCAUAAGAUAUUUAAUAGCAGCAUGUUCAGUGUGAAUAGUACUUUAGAAUCAAUGAUAUAAGGUCUGAACUUAUCACAAGCAAAUACAACUGCUAAAAAUUCUUUUUUCAGUAGUAGCAUAAUUUCUCUGGGCACUGUCUAGAGUUUUACUAGCAUAUAGAAUAACAUUUAGUUUCUUAUCAACUCUUUGUCCUAGAACAGCACCUACAACAUAAUCACUAGCAUCACACAUAAUUUCAAAGGCUAAAUUCCAAUCAGGUGGCUGAACAAUAGGUGCAGAAAUCAAAGCUUUCUUAAGUAUUUCAAAUGCUUCUACACAAUCAUCAUCAAAGACAAAAGGAAUAUCUUUUUGUAAGAGAUUAGUCAGAGGCCUAGAAAUUUUAGAGAAGUCCUUAAUGAACCUCCUAUAAAAACUAGCAUGACUAAGGAAACUUCUUAUACCUUUGGGACAUGACAUCUUUUCAAUAACAUCAACCUUAGCUUUAUAAACUUCAAUACCUCUUUCAGAAAUUUUAUGCCCCAAGACAAUGCCUUCAUUAACCAUAAAGUGGCACUUCUCCCAGUUCAAGACAAGACUAGUAUCUUCACAUCUCUGCAAAACUCGAUCAAGGUUGCUCAUGCAAUCAUCAAAAGAAGACCCAUAAACGAAGAAAUCAUCCAUGAAAACCUCACAAAUCUUUUCACAAAAGUCAGAGAAUAUAGCCAUCAUGCAUCUUUGAAAGGUAGCGGGUGCAUUACAUAAACCAAAAGGCAUACGUCUAUAAGCAAAAGUACUGAAAGGGCAAGUAAAAGUGGACUUUUCUUGAUCCUCUGCUGACACAGGUAUUUGAGAGAAACCAGAGUAACCAUCUAGAAAGCAAAAAUGUGUAUGUUUAGAUAAUCUUUCUAGAAUUUGAUCAAUAAAAGGUAGAGGGUAAUGAUCCUUUUUAGUAACUUUAUUUAACUUACGAAAAUAAAUUACCAUCCUAUAACCUGUAAUAAUUCUUUGCGAGAUCAAUUCAUCUUUAUCAUUAGGAAAAACAGUAAUACCUCCCUUCUUAGGGUCAUAAUGGACAGGAAUUACCCACUGACUAUCAACAACGGGAUAAAUUAUACCUGCCUCGAGGAGCUUUAGUAUUUCCUUUCUUACCACUUCUUUCAUCUUAGGAUUUAACCGUUGUUGGUGAUCAAUAACUGGUUUGGCGUCUUUCUCCAAAUUUAUCUCGUGUUGACAUAAAGUGGGACUAAUGCCCUUAAGAUCAUCAAGAGUAUAUCCAAUAGCAGCACGAUGUUUCUUCAGAGUUUUCAAUAAUCUUUCCUCUUCCUGCUCUGAAAGGUUAGCACUAAUAAUAACAAGAUAUAUCUUCUUUUCAUCAAGAUAAGCAUAUUUGAGAGUAUCAGGUAAUGGUUUAAGCUCAAACACGGGAUCACCCUUGGGUGGAGGAGGAUCCCCUAGAAUUUCAAUAGGCAAGUUGUGUUUCAAAGUAGGUCCCUGUUUAAAGAAUACUUCAUCUAUCUCCCUUCUUUCAUUCAUAAACAUAUCAAUUUUCAUGGUCUAGCAAAUAUUGUUCUAAAUGGUCAUUAGGAGGAACGACAAUAGAAGCAAGACCAAUAAUUUCAUCCUUACUAGGCAAUUCUUUAUCAUGGGGUUGUCUACGAAAUUUAGCAAAAUUAAACUCAUGAGACAUAUCCCCUAAGCCAAUCGUAACAACAUCCUUUUCGCAGUCUAUCUUAGCAUUAACAGUGUUCAAGAAGGGUCUACCAAAUAUAAUGGGACAAAAGUCUUCUUGCAGGGAACCAAGAACAAGAAAAUCAGCAGGAUAUUUAACUUACCCACACAAGACUUCAACAUCUCUAACAAUCCCAAUUGGUGAAAUAGUAUCUCUAUUGGCAAGCUUAAUUGUAACAUCAAUUUCUUCUAUCUUAGCAGGUGCAAUAUCACGCAUAAUUUCUUUGUAUAAGGAAUGGGGUAUUGCACUUGCACUAGCAUCCAUAUCACAUAAGCCAUGAUAACAAUGAUCUUCUAUUUUAACAGAAAUAACAGCCAUGCCUAGAACAAGUCUAUGUUUCUUAGCAUCGGGUCUAGCAAUUCUAGCAGAUGUAUCACAGAAAUAAAUAACAUGCCCAUCAAUAUUAUCAGCCAAGAGAUCUUUAACCAUAGCAAUACUAGGUUCAACUUUAAUUUGCUCAGGUGGUGUAUAUGUUCUAAUGUUACUUUUGCGAACCAGAGUUAAAGCUUUAUCAUGAUCCUUUAUCCUAACAGGGAAAGGUGGUUUCUCAAUAUAAGUAGCAGGAACAAUAGGAUAGUUAUAAGUGAUAGUCUUUUCUUCAACUUUAAUAGGUGCAACUACUUUUACUUUAGUGGGAGGAUUAAAUUUAAACCACUUCUCCUUAGGUAGGUCAACAUGAGUAGCAAAAGAUUCACAAAAGGAGGGUACUAUAUCAUAGUCAAGUCCAUAUUUAGUGCUAAACUUUUGAAAAGCAUCGGUAUCCAUAAUAGAUUUAACACAAUCAUACUUAAGCUUUAUACCCGAAUCUUUACCUUCGUCAAGUUCCCAAUCUUCAGAGUUGCGUUUAAUUCUUUCCAGAAGAUCACACCGGAAUUCAAUAGUCUUCUUCAUAAAAGAACCAGUAUAAGAAGUAUGAAGCAUGGUUUGAUCAUUACGAGAAAGCCGAGCAUAAAAAUUGUGAAUAUUAAUUUCUCUUGAGAGCUCAUGAUUGGGGCAUGAAUAUAACAUCGACUUAAGCCUCCCCCAAGCUAGAGCCAUACUUUCUCCUUCACGAGGCCAAAAAUUAUGUAUAUAACACGACUUAUGCAUAUGAUAAUUGUUUUGAUGGAACUCCUAUUUCAAAUGAUUCCAAUUCCAUGAUCCAAUAUCAUCGCAUAGCCUAUACCAUGCCAAUGUUUCCCUUCAAAGUAAAGGGAAAACCUUUUUCAUCUCUUCAUCCCUGGGUAAACCUGCAAGCUUAAACAAUCCACAAAUUUGUUCCACAUGUAUCAAGUGCAUAUCAGGAUGUUCGGUUCCAUCUCCUGCAUAAGGAUUAGCUAGCAGUUGUUCUAUCAUACCCGAAGGGAUUUCAUAUUCAAUAUUUUCAGUAGGUGCAGUAGGUUGAGGGGUAACUAAUUGUGGUUCCGGACAAGGUGAAGAUACCCCUAAGAAACCCCUCAAAGGAUUGUUUUCCAUAGUAACAAGUGAUAAUAAAUUUCAGCACACAAUAUAAAUGUUUCCUUACCAAAUUCCACUUACCCAAGGCGCUUCACUCCCCGGCAACGGCGCCAGAAAAUAGCCUUGAUGACCCACAAGUGUAGGGGAUCUAUCGUAGUCCUUUUGAUAAGUAACAGUGUCGAACCCAACGAGGAGCAGAAGGAAAUGACAAGUGGUUUUCAGUAAGGUAUUCUCUGAAAGCACUAAAACUGUAGGUAACAGAUAGUUUUGUGAUAAGGUAAUUUGUAACGGGUAACAAGUAAUAAAAGUAAAUAAGGUGCAGCAAGGUGGCCCAAUCCUUUUUGUAGCAAACGACAAGCCUGGACAAGUUCUUAUAUAGAGAAAAGCGCUCCCGAGGACACAUGGGAAUUAUCGUCAAGCUAGUUUUCAUCACGUUCAUAUGAUUUGCGUUCGUUACUUUGAUAAUUUGGUAUGUGGGUGGACCAGUGCUUGGGUACUGCCCUUUCUUGGAUAAGCAUCCCACUUAUGAUUAACCCCUAUUGCAAGCAUCCGCAACUACAAAAUAAGUAUUAAGGUGAACCUAACCAUAGCAUGAAACAUAUGGAUCCAAAUCAGCCCCUUACGAAGCAACGCAUAAACUAGGGUUUAAGCUUCUGUCACUCUAGCAACCCAUCAUCUACUUAUUACUUACCAAUGCCUUCCUCUAGGCCCAAAUAAUGGUGAAGUGUCGACAUUCACAUAACACCACUAGAGGAGAGACAACAUACAUCUCACCAAAAUAUCGAACGAAUACCAAAUUCACAUGACUACUUAUAGCAAGACUUCAUCUAUGUCCUCAGGAACAAACGUAACUACUCACAAAUCAUAUUCAUAUUAAUAAUCAGAGGGGUAUUAAUAUGCAUUAAGGAUCUGAACAUAUGAUCUUCCACCGAAUAAACCAACUAGCAUCAACUACAAGGAGUAAUCAACACUACUAGCAACCCAUAGGUACAAGAGAUGAACUAGGGUUUGAGAGGAGAUGGUGCUGGUGAAGAUGUUGAUGGAGAUUGAGCCCCUCCCAAUGAGAGGAUCAAUGGUGAUGAAGAUGGUGAUGAUUUCCCCCACCCGGAGGGAUGUUUCCCCGGCAGAACAGCUCCGCCGGAGCCCUAGAUUGGUUCCGCCAAGGUUCCGCCUCGUGGUGGCGGAGUUUCGUCCCGAAAGCUGGCUUAUGAUUUUUUCCAGGGUAAAAGACUUCAUAUAGCAGAAGAUGGGCACUGGAGGCCUGCCAAGUGGCCCACGAUCGCCACUCAUAAGGAAGACAAUCAAUAAUAAUCAUGCUCCAACUUCUUAGCAUAACGGGAGACUAAACGUGCAUGCUUCAGGAAUCACAAACCUUAACACCAAUAUUCUUACUAAACCAGAAUUACUAACCAGCACAACCCACAUAUUACCACCUUUAUAUCACAAAACUAUUGCAAGGAAUCAAAAUUUAUCAUAUUCAAUGAUCUACAUGAAAGUUUUUAUUAUAUCCCUCUUGAAUACCUAUCAUAUUAGAACCAAAUUCAUAACCCACACUAAUUUUUACUAUUAUCAACUCUCAAAAAUAUAUAAGUGAAGCAUGAGGGUGCAACUAUUUCUUUAAAAUAUAACCACUGUCAUGCUCUAAAAAUACAAGUGAAGCACUAGAGCAACUACCUAGCCCAAAAGAUUUAAGUGAAGCACUAGAGUAUUCUAACAAAUCAUGAAUAAUGUGCGCCCCUCUCAAAAGGUGUGUCUAGCAAACGUGAUUUUGACAAACUAAAAGGCAAACAAAGCAAAGACUCAUAUCAUACACAACGCUCUAAGCAAAACUCAUAUCAUGUGAUGAAUAAAAAUAUAGCUCCAAGUAAAAUUAUCUAUAGUUGGUAGGAGAAAGAGGGAUACCUUCCGGGGCAUCCCCAAGCUUAGAUGCUUGGGAGUCCUUGAGUAUUAACUUGGGAUGCCUUGGGCAUCCCCAAGCUUAGCCUCUUGCCACUCCUUAUUCCUUCAUCCAUCGUGAUCUCACCCAAAACUUGAAAACUUCAGCACACAAAACUCAACAAAAACCUUCGUGAGAUCAGUUAGUAUAACAAAGCAAAUCACUACUUUUGGUACUGUUGUAAACCCAUUCAUAUUUUAUUAUUGCAUUCUACCUACUGUAUUCUAACUUCACCAUGUCUUAUACCCCCCGAUACUAUCCAUAGAUUCAUCAAAACAAGCAAGUAACACAACGAAAACAGAAUCUGUAAAAAAACAGAACAGUCUGUGAUAAUUCGAACAAAGACCAUACUUCUGUAACUCCAAAACUUCUGAAAAACGAGGACAAUGUGGGCAAUUUGUAUAUAAAUCAUGUGAAUUCGGAAUUUUUCGCCGCUCCAUUGACUUUUAACAAUUCUGCGGUGACGUAAAAGUUUCUACUUUUCCAUAGAAUCAAAGCAACUAUCUUCCAAAUCAUCCCAAAGGCUUUAGUUGGCACAAACACUAAUUUAAACACAAAAACACAACCAUAACAGUAGCAUAAUUGUGUGCACAAAAAAAAACAGAAAACAUAACUAUUGGGUUGUCUCCCAACAAGCUCUUUCUUUAUAGCCAUUAAGAUAGGCUUAAGAUUUUAUUGUUUCUCACAUGAAAGAUAAUAAUUGAAACAAAGAGAGCAUCAUGUAGCAUGUGAAGAACACACUUAAGUAUAACAUACUUCCUAUGCAUUUGCACACAUUUAAGUAUAACAUACUUCCUAUGCAUUGGCAUUUUAUAAGCAAACAAAUUAUCAAGACAAGAAAUAUCUACCGUAACAAGGUAGAAGAAUAAAACAUUGACGAUCUCAACAUAACAGGAGGUAAUUUAGUAACAUGAAAAUUUCUACAGCCAUAUUUUCCUCUCUCAUAAUAAUUACAUGUAGGAUCAUAAUAAAAUUCAACAAUAUAGCUAUCAUAUAAAAUUUUCUCUUCAUGAUCCACAUACAUAAAGUUUAUAAUCUUCCAAGAUAGUGGGACUUCUCCAAACCCAAUUUUAUCAAUAAUUUCAUAAGAUUGAACACUCUCCAAAUAUGUGGGAUUAUUUUUACCUAAAGUUGACGCUCUUCCAAACCCACUUUCAAUGUUAUUGCAAACAUUAUUGUAAAUAUCAUAUUCAUCAUGAUGCUUAAAUAAAUUUUCAAGAUCAUAAGAAACAUUAUCACCCCAAUCAUGAUCAUUGCAAUAAGUACUAGACAUAACAAAUUAUCCUUCCCAAGCUUGGGAUUUUGCAUAUCAUUAACACAAUUGACACUAAUAGAAUUUAUAAUAAUAUCAUUGUAAUCAUGCUUUUCAAUCGAGGAGCUAUCAUGAAUCACCUUAUAAAUUUCUUCUUUUAACACUUCACCAUAAUUUCCAGAUUCACAAAUUUCAAGCAAAACUUCAUAAAGAUAAUCUUGUGCACUCGACACACUAGCAAUUGGUUCAUCAUAAUUGGAUUUUUUAAAAAGAUUAGAAAGUGGAUGAGGGUCCAUCUUAAUUUUUCUUAUUUCUUUUUCUGUUUUUGAGUGUUAACAUGAAGGCAAAAAGCAAGCAAACGAGCAAAGAAGCAAAAAGGCGAACACAAAAUAUUUUUGUGUCUUUGUGAAAACGUCUUAGAAGUGGGGGAGAUGAAAACUUGAGGCAAAUGACAAAUAAUGUAAAUGCAAGGAGAUGAAAGUUUAUGCAUAGGUACAUGAUAGAUGUUGAUGAUGUUUCCCCGGCAACGAUGCUAGAAAUUCUUCCUGCUACUUGUGAGCUGCGUUAGGAUUUCCUCGAAGAGGAGAGGAUGAUGCAGUACAGAAGAGAUAACUAUGUCCCUCAGUUAAGAACCAAGGUUAUCAAUCCAGUAGGAGAACCACGCAACACCUUGUUAGCAAUACCUACACACAAAAUAAGAAAUACUUGCACCCAACGCGAACAAGGGGUUGUCAAUCCCUCGACGGUUAGUUGCAAGGAUCAAAUCUCUUAGUGAUAAAUGGAUAAAACAAAAAUACAAAAUAAAAUAACAUAAAUAAAAUUGCAACAAGGUAUUUUUGGAUUUUAAUAUAUGAUAAAAGUAUACUCGGGGCCAUAGUUUUCACUAGAGGCUUCUCUCUUGAAAAUAGCAUAUGGCGGAUAAAUAAAUUACUGUUGGGAAAUUAAUAGAAAAACAAAUAAUCAUGACGAUAUCCAAGGCAAAGAUCAUGUAUAUAGGCAUCAUGUCUGAGAUAAGUAGACCGAAAUGAUUCUGCAUCUACUACUAUUACUCCACACAUCGACCACUGUCCAACAUGCAUCUAGAGUAUUAGUUCAAAGAACGGAGUAAUGCCUUAAGCAAGAUGACAUGAUGUGGACAAAGUAAACCCACUCAUGAAUAAACACCAUAUUUUUAUCCUUAAUGGGAAUGAUACAAAUACGUGUCAUGUCCCUUUCCGUCACUGGGAUUGAGCACCGCAAGAUUGAACCCAUCACAACGCACCUCUCCCAUUGCAAGGAAAAUCAAUAUAGUUGGCCAAACCAAAUCAAUAGAUCAGAGAUAAAUACAAAGCUAUAACAAGCAUGCAUAAAAGAGUUCAAAGAAAACACAAAUAAUAUUCAUGGAUAAUCUGAUCAUAAACUCACAAUUUAUCGGAUCCCAACAAACACACCGCAAAAGCGAUUACAUCAAAUAGAUCUUCAAGAACAUCCAGGAAAACAUUGUAUUGAAGAUCAAAGAGAGAGAAGAAGCCAUCUAGCUACUAGCUAUGAACCCGUAGGUCUGUGGUGAAGUACUCACACAUCAUCGGAAGGGCAGCAAGGUUGAUGUGGAGCCCCUCCAUGGUUGAUCCCCCUUAUGGCAGCGUACCGUGGAAGGCCUCCUGAUGGGAUAUCGUGAGAAUAGAAACUUGCGGCGGCGGAAAAAGUACUUCGGGUGGAUCACUGAUGUUAGGGGAAUAUUUGAGAAUUUAUAGAGGUGGAAUUAGGUUAAGAGGUACCAUGAGGGGCCCAAAAGCCUGGGGGGCGCCCCCCUGGGGUGCACCUCUCGAGCUUGUCGCUCCCUAGUGGCUCUUUAGGUCUUCUCCCGAAUCUUCUAGGGUCUCUUCUAGUCCAGAAAAAAAUAAUCCAAAGUUUUUUCUCUGUUUGGACUCUGUUUGAUAUUGAUAUCCUGAAAAUCGAGAAACAGGCAAAAAACAGCAACUGGUCGUAGGGCACUAGAUUAAUAGUUUAGUCCCAAAAGCUGAUAUAUAAUUGCAUAUAAAACAUCCAAUACAGAUACUAUAAUAGCAUGGAACAAUAAAAAAUUAUAUGUGCAUUGGAGACGUAUCAUGGACUUACCGACAACCAAAUCGCGAUUGAGAACAAAUGGAUCUUUAAGAAGAAGACAUAUGUUGAUGGUAAUGUCACUACCUACAAAGCUCGACUUGUUGCAAAAGGUUUUCAACAAGUUCAAGGGGUUGACUACAAUGAGUCUUUCUCAUUCGUAGUGAUGCUAAAGUCUGUUAGGAGUAUGUUAGCAAUUGUUGCAUUUUCGAUUAUGAAAUCCGGGAGAUGGGCGUCAAAACUGCGUUCCUUAAUGCAGCCAUUAAAGAAGAGUUGUAUAUGAUGGAACACAAAGGUUUUGUCGAUCCUAAGGGUGCUAAUAAGGUAUUCAAGCUCCAGCAAUCCAUUUAUGGACUAGUACAAGCAUCCCGGAGUUGGAAUCUUCACUUUGAUGAGGUGAUCAAAGGUUUUGGAUUUAGCCAAGCUUAUGGAGAAGCUUGUAUUUACAAGAAAGUGAGUGAGAGAUCUAUAGCAUUUCUAAUACUGUAUGUGGAUAACACAUUAGUGAUUGGAAAUGAUGUGUAACUUGAGUAAAGCAUAAAGGGAUAUUUGAACAAGAGUUUUUUCAAUGAAAGACCUCGGUGAAGCAACUUACAUACUGGGCAUCAAGAUCUAUAUAGAUGGAUCAAGACGCCUGGUAGGACUUUGACAAAGUACAUACCUUGACAAAGUUUUGAAUAAGUUUAAAAUAGAACAGUCAAAGAAGGGGUUCUUGCUGUCGGGGCUCUGGGACUGGGGGUACCUAGGCCCGUCCGCCUGCAGCCCAAUGCAAGGCAUCGUGAAAGGGCCUCCUGCCCUCACGAGGGGGGCAUCAGUGAGCGUCGUCAGGUAUCCCGAGGGCUUCAUGAUGGGCGGUCUCCUGAGGCUGCCUCCCUAGGCCCGUCGUGGGGCGGACAUCUCUAGGCUCGCCAGCCCGCCUCAAGCUGCACAUGGGUGACGCGACCCAUGAUGAACGUUGCCAGGAAGGCGCCAGGGUGCGUAGACUAGGACGGUUUCCUCUUUGGUGCUAAAGGGACAAGGUCAACACGCAGGUUCCUUAGGAAUCCCCCAAAGCCUGCCAUUCUGGUGCAACAACACCAGGACGACGGGCUCGCCAGGAUGGAGGUUAGCACCAUACCCACCUGUGCGUCACGACCAGAAGCUUUGCAGGCGACACUAUGAUGUUUGCUAGAACUACGUCGGUAUUUCCCCAAAGAGGAAGGGAUGAUGCAGUAUAGCGAUGGUAGGUAUUUCCCUCAGUGAUGAGACCAAGGUUAUCGAACCAGUAGGAGAACCUCCUCACACCACGUAAACAACACCUGCACACAAAUAAAAAAUACUCACAACCCAACGUGUUAAAGGAGUUGUCAAUCCCUUUCGGGUACGGUGCCUCAAGAUAGGCAAAUAACGUGAGGUAAAAGUGGUAGAUAGGAUAAAUAGAUCACGGAACAAAUAAAUUGCUGCAGGAUAUUUUUGUAUUUUUGGUUUAAUAGAUCUGAAAAUAAAUGCAAAGGAAAAUAGAUCGCAAAUGCAAAUAUGAUGAAAAGAGAUCCAGGGGCCGUAGGUUUCACUAGUGGCUUCUCUCGAGAAAAAUAGCAAAUGGUGGGGAAACAAUUACUGUUGGGAAAUUGAUAGAACUUCAAAUAAUCAUGAUGAUAUCUAGGCAAUGAUCAUUAUAUAGGCAUCACGUCCAAUAUUAGUAGACCGACUCCUUCCUGCAUCAACUACUAUUACUCCAAACAUCGACCGCUAUCCAACAUGCAUCUAGUGUAUUAAGUUCAUGAAAAAAACGGAGUAAUGCAAUAAGAACGAUGACAUGAUGUAGAUGAGAUCCAUUUAUCUAUUGCGAAGAUAUAGAUCCCAUCUUGUUAUCCUUAGUAGCAACAAUACGUAUGUGUCGGUUCCCCUUCUGUCACUUGGAUCAAGCACCGUAAGAUCGAACCCACUACAAAGCACCUCUUCCCAUUGCAAGAUAAAUAGAUCAAGUUGGCCAAACAAAACCCAAAUAUCGGAGAAGAAAUAUGAGACUAUAAGAAAUCAUGCAUAUAAGAGAUCAAAGAAGACCCAAAUAACUUUCAUGGAUAAAAACAUAGAUCUGAUCAUAAACUCAAAGUCCAUCGGAUCCCAACAAACACACCGCAAAAAGACUUACAUCAUAUGGAUCUCCAACAGACCAUUGUAUUGAUAAUCAAGACACACACACACACACACACACACACACAGAGAGAGAGAGAGAGAGAGAGAGAGAGAGGAAGCCAUCUAGCUACUAACUACGGACCCGUAAGUCUAUAGAGAACUACUCACGAAUCAUCAGAGAGGCACCAAUGGAAGUUGUGAACCCCUCCGUGAUGGCGUCUAGAUUGGAUCUGGUGGUUCUGGACUCUGCGAUGGCUGAGAUUGAUUUUCGUCGACUCCUCUAGGGUUUCAGGAAUAUUGGGGUAUUUAUAGAGCAAAGAGGCGGUUCAGGGGGCACCCGAGGUGGGCACAACCCACCAGGGCGCGCCUGGGCCUCCUGGCGCGCCCUGGUGGGUGCUGCUCCCCUCGAGCCACCCCCAGGUGCUUCCUUGGCCUACUGGAUGCCUUCUGGCCCAAAAAACCCUCUAGGAGUUUCGCCACGUUUGGACUCCGUUUGGUAUUGAUUUCCUACGAUGUAAAAAACAUGCAGAACACAACAACUGGCACUGGGCACUAUGUCAAUAGGUUAGUACCAAAAAAUGAGAUAAAAUGAUUGUAAAACAUCCAAGAAUGAUAAUAUAAUAGCAUGAAACAAUCAAAAAUUACAGAUACAUUGGAGACGUAUCAGCAUCCCCAAGCUUAAUUCCUGCUCGUCCUCGAGUAGGUAAAUGAUAAAAACAGAAUUUUUGAUGUGGAAUGUUGUCUAACAUGUUCUUCACAUUCCUUUUCUUUUAUAGCAUGGACAUAUGGACUUUUAUAUGAUUCAAAGCAAUACUCUAGUUUUGACAUGAAGACUUUAAUACUCAAGCAUAUCAACAAGUAACCAUGUCUUUCAAAAUAUUAACACUAAAGAAAGUUAUCCCUAGCCAAUCAUGCUCAACCAUUGAUCCAUUCAUGAAACACACUCGAAUAUUAGCUACACCCAAUGCUCAAAUACGAUCAUAGUUCCCCUUAGUUGGUGCUUUAUAAGAGAAGAUGGAGACUCAAAUUUAAAAAAAAUGUAUAAGUAAAAGAAAGGCCUUUCGCAGAGGGAAGUAGGGAUUUGUAGAGGUGCCAGAGCUCAAAGCAUAAAUUGAGAUAUAAAAAUAUUUUUGAGAGGCAUACUUUUCCCACCAACAAAAACGACUUGGAGCAUCCCAACACUUUCCAUGCUAGAUACAUCAUAGGCGGUUCCCAAAUAAUAAAUGAAGUUUAUUCCUUUUUCCACCAUUACUUUCACUUUCCACGGCUAGCCGAAUCCACAAUUGCCCUCCAUACCAACACUUUCCAAGGAAUUUAUUAUUUGACAACAUAAAGUAAAUUCAUUAUUCAUUUCGGAACUGGGCACCCCUAAUACAUUUUCCGUACUCGCGUGCAAUGACAAGUGAAUAAAUACUCAUCGCGAGAAUAACACAUCUAGCAUGGAAAAUACUGGCUACCCUUCACCGCCUCACGAGCGGUAGAGCACACAAAAGAGAAAUUUAUUUUGAAAAUUAGAGAUGGCACAUGCAAAUUUUCUUAGAACGGCAUGGAAAUACCGCAUACAGGCACGUAUAGUGGACUCAUAAGGCAAAACUGGUUUAAAGGGUAUUGGAUGCACAAGUAGUGAUCGUACUUAGUGCAAAAUGAAGGCUAGCAAAAGACUGAGAAGCGACCAACCAAAAAGCAAAAAAUCUCGUACCCAAGCAUUAAGCAUAAGUAACACCGAAUAAUGCACCAUAAGUAGGAUAUAAAUUUCAUUGCAUAACUAUUGACUUUCGUGCUUGCAUAGGGAAUCACAAACCUUAACAUCAAUAUUCUUACUAAAGCACAAUUACUCAUCAACAUGACUCACAUAUCAUAUCGUCAUAUCUCAAAACCAUUACUAAGAAUCAAGUUUAUUUUGUCCAAUGAUCUUCAUGAAUGUUUUUAUUGUAUCCUCCUUGGAUAUCUAUCACUUUGGGACUAAUUUCAUAUGUUGCUUUUGAUAAGCUCAUACAAAUAUAAGUGAAGAUCAUGAGCAUAAUUUCUUUUCUUUCUCUCAAAAUAAUCUAAGUGAAGCAAGAGGGAAUUUCUUAAAAUUUUACUAACUCCCAAAUAAAUCUAAGUGAAGCAUGAGAGCAUUUCUUCAAAAAUAACAAAGCACACCGUGCUCAAAAAGAUAUAAGUGAAGUACUAGAGCAAAUCCAUGGAUCUAAAAAUUUAAGUGAAGCAUAGGAGAAAUCAUACAAGACGCUCCAAGCAAAACUCGUAUUAUAUGACGAAUAAAAAUAUAGUUUCAAGUAAAAUACCGAUGGUUGUUAGAAGAAAGCGGGGAUGCCACUCGGGGGCAUCCCCAAGCUUAGUUGCUUGCUACUUAUUAUCUUGGGGUGCCUCGGCCAUCCCCAAUCUUAGCCUUUUGCUAAUCAUUAUUCCUCCAUCCAUCAUAGGAUCACUCAAAACUUGAAAACUUCAAUCACACAAAACUCAAACAAAACCUUCGUGAGAUCCGUUAGUAUAAGAAACCAAACCACUACUAUCAGUACUGUAGAAAACCUAUUAUUAUUUUGUUUUUGCAUUAUAUCUAAUGUAUUCCAACUUUUCUAUGGCAAAAACUCAUUGAAGAAAACCAUAGAAUCAUCAAAACAAGCACACAACGCAACGAAAACAGAAUCUGUCAAAAACAGAACAGUCUGUAGAAAUCUGAAUAUUUCAAAUACUUCUGUAAUUCCAAAAAUUCUUAAAUAAAUUGGUGGACAUGAGGAAUUUUUCUAUUAAUUUUCUUCAAAAAGAAUCAACUCAAAAUAACUCUUCUGUAAAAAAUGACAAAUAAUCUUGUGAGCGUGAAAGUUUCUGUUUUUCAGCAAGAUCAAAUAAACUUUCACCCAAGUCUUCCCAAAGUCCUUGCUUGGCUCAAACACUAAUUAAAACACAAAAAAACAAUCAUAAUAGUAGAAUAAUUGUGUUAACACACAAGAAUAGAAAGCAAAAAGCAAAAAUAAAUUUUAUAUAUUGGGUUGCCUCCCAACAAGCGCUAUCGUUUUACGCCCCUAGCUAGGCGUAAUGCGUAGGAUCUAAGUUUUGUCACUCUUAUCCUUGUUUCCCUUGGAGGUACUUGUGUCGAGAGGCUUCGUAAAUAAGACAUAAAACACAUUAUCCAUGGAAACCUUAGCACUAUAAGUUGUUUUUUAUCAUAACCCCUUUGAUUUCCGGCAGUGAUCCAAGAAUAGUGUUGAUUAACAUCGUUAAAAACUUGUUGGAUCAUAUCUAAAACUAGGACUUGCCUCUUAAGAUUCUCAUCAAAGAUUUGGUUAUCUCCAAGCAAAUGUCUUAAAGCAUAAUCACUAUUAUAAAGAACUUCAUCAAUCACGGGGUUUUCACGAUUCAUGCCAUAAAAAUCAAAGAUUUCCCUAGCUUCCUGUAUUAUGUAGUCAAAUUCAUUCAUCAAAAAAUGAGUGGCUAACUUUUUAGCUUUAGGAUCCUUUAUAACGGGCAACUCAUAGAACAAUAUUUGCAAGGUAGGAUGAGUAUGAAUAAAUCUAGUUUGAAGUUUCAGAACAAGUGCCGAAAUAGCUUAUGCAUAAGAUUUAGUUCUUUUAAGUAUAGGGAUAUCAUCAAGACUUAAUUUUCCAACACAAUUGAAAAAUUCUUGGAUGUGUUCUUUUCCCAUAAAAUUUCCUUGCCCCAAAACAAAAGUUUUGGCAUCCAUAAUACCCGUAUGCUCCAUUUUAGGAGUUAUGCCAUCAUAUUUUUUUGCCAUACCAAAGUCACCCAUCGUGACAAGGUCAAGAAAAUAAGAGAUCUGAAGAGAAAACGGCGGACGAAAAAGAGGGCAAAUAAAAUGGAAAAUUUUUGUGAAGUGGGGGACAGGAAAACGAUAGGGAAAUGGCAAAUAAUGUAAAUUGCGAGGAGAUGAGAUUUGUGAUUAGGAACCUGGUUAAUGUUGAAGAUCCUCCUCGGCAACGGUGCAAGAAAUUCCUUUUGAUGUCUGCUAGAACUACGUCGAUAUUUCCCCAAAGAGGAAGGGAUGAUGCAGUAUAGCGACAGUAGGUAUUUCCCUCAGUGAUGAGACCAAUGUUAUCGAACCAGUAGGAGAACCUCCUCACACCACGUAAAUAGCACCUGCACACAAAUAACAAAUACUCGCAACCCAAUGUGUUAAAGGGGUUGUCAAUCCCUUUCGGGUACGGCGCCUCAAGAUAGGCAAAUAACGUGAGGUAAAAGUGGUAGAUAGGAUAAAUAGAUCACGGAACAAAUAAAUUGCAGCAAGGUAUAUUUCUAUUUUUGGUUUAAUAGAUCUGAAAAUAAAUGCAAAGGAAAAUAGAUCGCAAAGGCAAAUAUGAUGAAAAGAGACCCGAGGGCCGCAGGUUUGACUAGUGGCUUCUCUCGAGAAAAUUAGCAAACGGUGGGAAAAAAAUUACUGUUGGGAAAUUGAUAGAACUUCAAAUAAUCAUGACAAUAUCCAGGAAAUGAUCAUUAUAUAGGCAUCACAUCCAAGAUUAGUAGACCGACUCCUACCUACAUCUACUACUAUUACUCCGCACAUUGACCGCUAUCCAGCAUGCAUCUAGUGUAUUAAGUUCAUGAAAAAACGGAGUAAUGCAAUAAGAACGAUGACAUGAUGUAGACGAGAUCCGUUUAUUUAUUGCGAAGAUAUGGAUCCCAUCUUAUUAUCCUUAGUAGCAACGAUACAUACGUGUCGGUUCCCCUUCUGUCACUCGGAUCAAGCACCGUAAGAUCGAAUCUACCAAAAAUCACCUCUUCCCAUUGCAAGAUAAAUAGGUGAAGUUGGCCAAACAAAACCCAAAUAUCGGAGAAGAAAUACGAGGCUAUAAGCAAUCAUGCAUAUAAGAGAUCAAAGAAGUCUCAAAUAACUUUCAUGGAUAAAAACAUAGAUCUGAUCAUAAACUCAAAGUUCAUUGGAUCCCAACAAACACUGCAAAAAUACUUAUAUCAUAUGGAUCUGCAAGAGACCAUUGUAUUAAUAAUCAAGAAACAGAGAGGAAGCCAUCUAGCUACUAACUAUGGACCCGUAGGUCUACAAAUAACUACUGACGCAUCAUCGGAGAGGCACCAAUGGAAGUGGUGAACCCCUCCGUGAUGGUGUCUAGAUUGGAUCUGGUGGUUCUGGACUCUGCGGCGGCUGGAAUUGAUUUUCGUCGACUCCCCUAGCGUUUUUGUAAUAUUGGGGUAUUUAUAGAGCAAAGAGGCGGUUCAGGGGGCACCCGAGGUGGGCACAACCCACCAGGGCGCGCGUGGGCCUCCUGGCGCGCCAUGGUGGGUGCUGCUCCCCUCGAGCCACCCCUAGGUGCUUCCUUGGCCUACUGGAUGUCUUCUAGCCCAAAAAAUCCUCCAAGAGUUUUGCUGCGUUUGGACUCCAUUUGAUAUUGGUUUCCUGCGAUGUAAAAACAUGCAGAAAAUAGCAACUGACACUGGACACUAUUUCAAUAGGUUAGUACCAAAAAAUGAUAUAAAAUGACUAUAAAAUGAUUGUAAAACAUCCAAGAAUGAUAAUAUAAUAGCAUGGAACAAUCAAAAGUUAUAGAUACAUUGUAGACGUAUCACACUACUGCAGGAUGCUGCUAACGCGAACUAUAGUCAGAGACCCUUCGACGAAACUGUGUGCGAUGCAAUAAUCGCAAAUGGUGAUGUAAAAAAUCGUCAAAAAAGGUGUAAAACAUUUGCGAUGGUGGCUGCAUCAAACAUGGUUCAGAUUUUAGUUGCGUGUGCGAUGCAGGGCAUACGAUUCAGUUUAAUUAACUGAUUGCGAUGAGGAGGAACAAAAGAAACGGGCAGCCAGAUGAAGGUGUGUGCGAUAUACAUCAUACGGUUCACUCGGAUGAACUAUUUGUGAUUAGGCAACACAAAAUAAAUGGUCGGCCAGAUCAAGGUGUGUGCAAUAUACGGCAUGCUGUUCAAUCAUAUGAACUGUUUGCUUUGAGCCAAGAGAACCGAAACGGUUCUAUAUAACAAGAUGUGUGUGAUAUGCGACAAACAGGCGUGUAAUCAGAAAUGUGUGCGAAGACUGAUAAUAACACAAACGAUUGCUGCUAAUAAGCCGUGUGUGUUGUGGGAAAACGCUUGGCCCUAUACAAUUGUGAGCGAUUGAUGAAAUCAUCACCGACGGGUUCCCCAGUAUGGUCCGUGUGUGAUGUUAUUACACAUAGAACAACAGCAUAUGUACUUAUAACUUAUAAGGACUUGAUUCCAUAAACAGAUUGAACAUCCAAUUACAUAUGUGGCUAGUACACACAUGACCUUUGCACACACCAAAGUACGUUCCAAAAUGCCGAGGAAACUCAAAUAAUGUAUAAAAAGGCAGAACGAACCGUGAAUAAUUUCAUAUUUUUAGGACGACGCUACUAUAGUUGCAUGUUUCCUCUGUAAAAUAAAUUAAGGUGGGAAGAGACAACGUAUGUCGUUGCGCACACAUAGGUGACAAGGUCCCUCUCGGAACCAUGAGGCUUUUUGAGAGAAGCUCUGAUUUGUAAGAAGUUUGUACCAAAACAUGUCCCAAAUUGGACUAUUUUUUUACCACAACAUGUUGGUGCUAUGACAUAACACCAUGCCAAGUUUCAUGAUUUUGAGGCGAGUUUUGGAUUUACAGUAAUUUUAAAACCAGGUUUCUCAAUGUUUACUGUCGAGUUGGCACCGCCCUGGAUAGGCUUUUUUCUCGUGGGUCCCAAAUGAUAAAUCCAAAUCUGUCACUACCAUGCAACUUUUCUUACUAAGAAUUAUAACCCGUUUGGUGUGCAAUCUAAAAAUAAGUUUGUGGGUGCUGGUGGGCGCUAAGAACUUGCGGUUCUGUAAUGAACAAAGAUCUUAAGGAUCUCGCAAGAGUGAUGUUCUUUCCCUAUGUUGUGAAUGCUUAUAAUAUUUAUGUCUUAAUUAAAGAAAUGACAAGCCAUUGGCCCAGUAUGAAAGAAGUAUGGGUCAAAGCCAAGUUGAAAAGGGCAACAAUAUCUAACUCCAGCUAACAAACAGUACAAAAGCACAAGGAUUAAUUGUUCAUCAGGUUUAGACAAAAUCCAGAUUGAACAGGACAAUGAGGUCAUCUAACUCAACCAAAGUUUUCGGCAGUCACAAUCAAAUGGAUCAGUCUUAUCCAUAAAAUCAAGAUCCCGACCAAGAAAUUCUACUGGUCCAUGAUGACAGGCCCUUAGGUCCACCUGAAACUUCUUUUUAUGCUGCUCAAUACUUGCAGCCAUAAGAAAUUUCUUGUCAAAAAACUUAAUCCUCACGAACAAUAGUGUCCUCGCAUUCAACAUGAAGAAUGUGACAAAGCUAGUGUUUGCAUUGUUGGAUGCAUAUCCUUCCAGUGUUACUGUCUUCAAACGAAUGUCAUGAGAUCUGACAAAAUCCUUGUGCUUCUUGAACCAUUGAUUGGUUAUACCUUCUAGUCCAUGUGUUAGUGCCUAAAUAAAGAUGAAGAUUGAAAAUAGUUAAUGUCUAAAAAAAUUAUGUUGAAAGAGUGAUAGUUGGACGAUUAAUUAUAGUGCAUUAUAUAUGGGCUUUCAAUGUGCGUGAAAUCAUCACCUUUAUAUACAAAUUCUCCAGACAUGGAAAACAUUGCAGCAAGCCAAUAAUAAUGUUCAUUUCAAAACACCACAUACUGAUAUGUAAGGUCUUGAUAGAAUCCACCAUCACUGAUAUGAUGGAAAAGCUCUUCAUUGAGCAUAGAACAUAGUAUUAGUAGCAAAAGUGUACUCCAAGAUGAUACUUAACUUAUGCGCACAAAUGAAAAAAGCAGAUUACAAAAGUUUACGUGAAUAAUAUACAGUACCUCAAUAGGUGUGGAGCCAAACACCAGAUCACGAAUUGCACCCAAGGUCUCCAGUUUAGGCGAAGAUACUACAGUUAUUUGAGAAGGUACUAUAACAGAAUCAAGGAGCAACCUUUGAAGUGAAGGGGCAUCUUUGAUGACGAGAUCAUGUCCAAAAAAACAAAUUCCCAUGCUUACAAGGUGGGGCGACUUUAUUUUGAGACAACAUAUACAAAUUUCCAUUCCAAAAACAAGCAACAAGCGCUCCAGGGCAGGGCAACUGGAGUGGAUGAUGAUGUGCAGUGCGGCCUCCGAUAGAUCAACCACCACAAGUGCAAGUUUUUUAGUAGUGGGAGUCGAAGCAUUUGUACCAGAUUGUCUGCUAGAUGGCACCGGGCGAACCUGGCAGUGUGGAGAGAGGAGGAAAACCACGAGAUGGACAUUGGUGAUGAGGGCACGGAUACAUCGGUUCGUUGUAUGUUACAUACGUAGUCAUGGUAGAACUCAAGCUGCUAGAGAUUAUCGAAUUAACAGUAUGUCACCAGGUGGCCACCAUGCAGGGUAUGUCCAGCAGGUAGCAUGCCGGGAUGCAGAUGCAUUGAACGGAGCCCUCGUGGGAGGAGAUGAUGGCUCCGGGGAGUUCAGAAUCAUCAUCGACAGAUAGCUGAUGAGAGUCGAGAUUAAGAGGCACGGUGCACCAUAGAGUGUGCCACCGAGAUGCGAGGACUUCUGUGCGGCAGCCAUCCUUGGUGGGGAGAAGGGAGAUGAUCUCCCCAAGCAUGCCGUUCAGGAGAUCGUUGAUGCGGUCCGCUAGAGAUUCUACUGGUUCCUCGGGUCUAGGGGGCCGCUUCUGGCCGCACAACCAGGUACAAGAUUUACAUCCGGCGGUGGCGCUGGCCGGAGCCUCAUCUGUGUACAUACCAAUCUGAAAGAAAAAAAUGUCAUAGCAUGUAGGACAUUCAAAAUCAAUUCUCAAGAUCAGGAAGAAAAAAGGAACAAACAUAUAUGUAGGACAUUCAAAAUCAAUUCUCAAGAUCUGGCCACGAAUUAUUAGCACGCAUGCUAACCCGAGUCGGAUUAUUAGCAAAAAUCAUUUCUAGAGAACAAACAAUUAAUCACUAACUCUAUACAGAUAACAUUCAAACAAUCAAUACACUACGUGCAUUUAACGGGUCUUAAUUACUCUGAUUUCAUGGACUGAGAGAACAUAACCAUACGAUUUGUAUUCUAGAAAAAUUAUAGAGGGGCAGGGGGAUUAACCAGAGAAAACAAAUGAUAUGUUUGCCGCACAAAUGGAUAUAUAGAUGACUAACUGGUUUUCCAUCGGAGUCGCAGUCGUUGCCGGAGUUGCUGUUGACCUCCGGCUCCGGCUGGGGGGGGCAUGACGGCGUCGACGAAAUCAAGGUCAUGCUGCUGCCCGCGCGAGACCUCGUCGGUGGUGAUGACAACCUCUGUGCCCAGCCUCACGCAUUACCCGGGUGCUUCACCAGCCCCAGUGUCGCCACUCCCUCCGAUGGUGCGCUUCGGUGGCAUCCUCAUACAAUCUGGAGUCCAAACGUUGGUGACCACUGUGGACCGGGGGUGCGGCCGCCUAUUAUGGCCAGUGGCUCGGGCGCGCAAUUAAUACGGACCAGUGGGAGCGAGGCAGGCUGCGGUCAAAAGCUGUUUCGCCUCCCGGUGAGCCUGCGCGGCGGACUUCUGCCAUUCCUACCAUCAUUCAACACAUUUACUCGCACGCCUCCCGUCAAUACGUACACCUGCACGCACGCCUCCCAGUAUGCGUGCGCGGCGGACUGCUCACAUGCGUCCCAUUAACUCAUGCCUGCUUGCAUGGUACACAGGGAGUGUAGCAGCACAUAUAUUUUUUGGUUUAUUUUCUGCCGCUUUACUGCUUAAUUGAAGCAUGGAACGGUCUAACGCACAGUCCGAAUAAAUAAUCCGCAUGAGAUACUGGUUGCCAGUUCUUAAUAAUCUCCCGUUUGUAAGAAGAUUAUAUCAAAAUGGGUCUUGUUGACGAAAAAAUACAAUAUUACAGUGUACUGUGUCCAUAUAUGAAACCACGAUAAGUUUCAUGAAUUUCAACUAAGUUUUGGAUUUACUGAAUUUUAAAAACAUAUAUUCUUAAUAUUUUGAAAUCUCUUGCAUAGGGAAACAUGCACCUAGGGACACAUAUGAUUUUGCAACCCAUUUUGGUUUUUGAUUUUUGCACAUUAAAUCCCUAGGAAAUCAAUCAAUGUAUAAAAAUGGUAGAAUGAUGCCUGUUUUAAAAAAGAUUAACACGACACUCCGCCUUUCGUCACAUGUUCAUUGCAGAAAAAGUUUGACAUGCCUCAAAGUGGCUGUGGUGAUGCGGGGUGUGUGUGUUUGUCUGUGUGGGGGUGGGGAGGGGGGAGGGGUCCGGCAGUACACUACGAGUCGUGAACCUCCGUGUGGGAUUAUUGAUCAUUUUGUGAGUCAUAUAUUCCACAUCAAAGUCGUGAAUGGUUAUUUAAAGCAUUACACAUCCCUUUCAUACAUAAUGUUGGGGCCACAUGCAUGCUUUGGUGGUCCUCUCGAACACUCACCCUCGUGCGGUUAUUAGUGACGUGCCCAUUCCUUAGGCCACAAAGGUUUUUAGUUUCCACCGACAAUGAGAGGCAUUAAUUUGACCAAAAGGUGGAUUCAUCUUGGCAUGUGUGUGGUGUUGAUCACGUUGGGAUUCCAUAUCAAAGUUCGAGCACAUGCGUACACACUCCCGCCGGCUUGAAGUGAGGGGGCUACACGCAUCGUGGUGUAAUGUGUUUCCGAUUUGCGAAGCAUGUGCCACGUCAAAGUUGUGCAUUGGGUAUUCAAACAUCACAUAACACACGGGGGCAUGCAUGCGGUGGUUUUGUCCUAUGACAUCACUCGCAUGUGCCUCUCUCUAUGGGCCCACGAGGUCGUCGUCGACCAGUUGAACAUACAAGGAGAGAGAGGCUAAUUUGACCAACGAGGAUGGUUCUUUUUUGGUUUGUGUUACGUAUAUGCACGGUAUAUGAGUAUGUACAUGUCAAAGAGGGGGCAACAUGAAUACUCUAUAUAUAUGCGUGUCAUAACCUUGCUCCAUGUGGGGACUUUUCGGUUCCUGAGGCAGGUCCAACAUCAAAGUUGUACAUUAUAUUGGUAUUCAAAAUCACACAAUACCAUGCAGGCGGUGGUUUCCCUAUAUACUGGAACUCACUCGCGUGUGGCGCUUCCAUCCAUGGGCAUGCGAGGUUGUCCUCCAUCCCUAUGACCCAAUGAGAGAGAGGUUAAUUUGAUCAUGAAGGAAUGAUUCUUUUUUGGUUUGUGCUAUACAGUAGAAGUACAUAUAUACCACGCGUUGAAUGAGGGCGUACAUAUAGCACAUGCCACGUGUCAUGAACCUCACGCUCUCUCUGGGGACUUUUUGGUUUCCUGUAUACGUGGUUCCACAUCAAAAUUGUGCAUUGCGUAUUCAAACAUCACACAAACAGCUCUUUGGGUCACAUGCAUGCAGAGGGUGGUACGUAGUCCUAUAUAGGAUGACCACUCGUGUGCGACGUAUGCUUCUCUUCUGUGUUGGGCCCACAAGUUCGUCAUCCAUCAAUUUGACCCAGCGUGAGAGAGGUACGCGUUUGAUGAAGAAGGAGGAUUAUUUCUUUUAGGGUUGUGUUACCAGGUGUGUAUAUAUAGUACGUGUCGGGGGGGGGGGGUGACUGAGGGAGUCCUGGACUAAGGGGUCCUCGGGCGUCCGGUCUAUUCUAUACGGGCCAAACUAAUGAGCCGUUAAGAUACAGGGAAGAUGACCAUCUCUCGUGUCCGGUUAGGACUCCCGUUUGCGUGAAUGGUAAGUCUAGGUGUCUCGAUAUACUAUUUCCUUUCUGCUAAACCGACUUUGUACAACCCCAAGCCCCUCCGGUAUCUAUAUAAACCGGAGGGUUUAGACCAAAGGCAAGAUUAUAACAUUGAUAGGCUAGCCAAGCUAGGGUUUAGCCAUUACGAUCUCGAGGUAGAUCAACUCUUGUAACCCCUAUACUCAUUGAAUAUAAUCAAUCAGGAGUAGGGUUUUACCUCCAUUAAAAGGGCCCGAACCUGGGUAAACAUUGUGUCCCUUUGAUCAUUGUUACCAUCGAUCCUCAGACAUACAACUUGGACCCCCUACCCGAGAUCUGCCGGUUUUGACACCGACAUUGAUGCUUUCAUUGAGAGCUCUGUUGUAUCGUCAACAGAAGGAUUGAUGGCGCGCCUAUUCAUCAAUGAUGACGCUGCACCGAGGGAAACCUUUCUUCCCAGACAGGUCUUUGUGUUCGGCGGCUUCGUGCUUCAUGCCAACUCGACUAGCUGCCUCGAGCAGGUCGAAAGUUACUGCCCCGGCCACCAGAUCAGGUUUAUGAACCUGAACUACAUCACCGAUGUUCGAGGAGAUCUAAUCUUCGAGGGGUUCGCAGCCUCGGUUGCCGCCCCUUGCCCCCAUGAAGGAAGCUCUUAGAAUCCGCUCUUAGAUCCCGUCCAGGGAUCGACGCUCACACCCGUAUUGGCCUUAGAUCCAUGGCGGGUCGUAUCGUCCAAGGACGGGAGGAUCAGCCCCGCAAGACUCUACCAUUGAACUUCCGACCGGAGACCCAAAUGCGGUUUUGGACUCGCCUCUAGACGACAACUCCGAACUAUCGAGGUCUGCGUCGAUUGGGCCCGAUCAGGUGUCUCUCACCGAACUUAGCCCUAUAGAUCCGCAGACUCCCACCCAGCUUUCGCCCUUGGAAGAAGCACUAGGUUUAAUGUGAUCUCUUGCCAUUACAGAAGCUUUCCCUCUAAACUGCACCCAACAUGGGAUGGGGGCUGGGAGCGGAGAAUUUUAUGACCCGCCCACCACCCACUUAAUAGCCACUAUCGAGGAUUUAACUGACAUGCUAGACUACACAUCCGAAGACAUCGACGGUAUGGACAACGACGCCGAUGCCGAAUCAGGCCAAGUCCCACCCAUCACAAGGCGUUGGACGACCACUUCAACCUAUGACGUAUACAUGGUGGACACUCCUGAGAAGAAGGACGAUGAUGGCAUUCAAGAUCCAGGGAAGGACAAGCCCAUCGAUGAACCACCAAAACGCCGAUGUCAGCGGCACCACUCACGAUCGCGUUGGGCGAAGGAUAGUAAUACUGGUACCGGAGGUAAUGAGACUCUGGAUAACGCCGAAGAUCCCGAACACCCCGUCGAGCCCACGUCCGAACAGGAUGAGAGGGAGGAGGGUCAGUAUAGCCCCGAACAUGUUGAUCAUGAAGAUUCGUAGGACAACAACUAUAUGCCAGUCUCCAAAGAGGAUGUCAGCCUCGGUGACGAAGAUUUUAUCGUCCCAGAGGAAGCUCUCGAGCAAGAAUGCUUCAAGUGACAACUUAUCGCCACCAUGCGGAGACUGAAAAAGAAAUAGCAGCAUCUCAAAGCUAAAUAGGAUACACUCGCUAAAGGUGGACGAAGGUUCUUGCCGCCGAGGAGUACGACCCCGAGCGACCUAUAAAAAGUUACCCCAAGCGCAAGUUGCUACCACAAUUCGAUGAUGAAGCCCUUGAGCCAAUACCGUCGAAAUACAAUCAGGCAGAUCAACCAGACCGACCACAAUGUGGACAGGAUAAAGCGGCACAUCAAGCCGAACACCAGCCCGCACCCCCUCGCCGAAGAGGCAAGGAGACAGCAGCUGCGGGCUAUACAUAUGACUUGCACUAGGACUUGGCCAAUAAAAUUGGCCAUAGCAUAUCGAUCUAUGAAUCAAGAGGCCAUGUCUUGGCAUGAGAUAAUGGCUAUGAAGUCCAGCGUGAUGAACAUUACAAUAUUCAGGAUCGUCACCGAACUCAGAUGUCAUCCGAUGUCCACCGUGAUGUUGCACGGUAUAGGGGCGCUGCACACCCUAUGUGCUUUACCGAUGAGGUAAUGCAACACCAGUUUCCACAAGGGUUCAAACCCGUAAACAUUGAGUUGUACGAUGGAACGAUAGAUCCGGCUGCCUGGAUCGAAGACUUUCUUCUCCACAUUCAUAUGGCUCGUGGAGACGACCUCCGCGCCAUUAAAUACCUUCCUAUAAAGUUGAAAGGACUAACACGGCACUGGCUGAACAGCCUCCCAGAGAACUCCAUUGGAAGGUGGGAAGAUUUAGAAGAUGCUUUUUGGACCAACUUUUAGGGCACUUAUGUCCGGCCACCGGAUGUUGAUGACCUAAAUCACAUAAUCUAGCAACCUGGAGAAUCGGCUCGCAAGCUUUGGAAUCGGUUCCUAAUUAAGAAGAACCAAAUCAUGGACUGUCCGGACGCCGAAGCGUUAGCAGCCUUCAAACACAACAUCCAUGAUGAAUGGCUCGCCCGACACCUCGAGCAUGAGAAGCCGAAGUCCAUGGCAGCCUUAACUUCACUUAUGACCCGUUUCUAUGCGGGUGAAGUUAGCUGGUUGGCUCGUAGAAGCAAUAGCUCGGGCAACCCCGACACUUCUGAGGCCAGGGACGGCAAUGGUAGACCACGCCGCAAUAAAAACAAAUGAUAGAGCAGUAAUGACGAUGCAGAUGAUACGGCAGUCAAUGCUGGAUUCAGUGGUUCUAAAUCUGGUUAGCGGAAGAAACCUUUCAAAGGCAACAGGGACAGUCCAUCUAGUUUGGACAAAAUCCUUGAGAGGCCCUAUCAGAUUCAUGGCACACUAGAUAAGCCUGCUAACCACACCAAUAGGAACUGUUGGGUUUUCAAACAGGCCGGUAAGAUAAAUACCGAACACACUGGAAAGGGACCUCCAAGUGAGGACAAUGAUGAGCCCUGUUAGCCGAACACCGAGGGCCAAAAGCAGUUUCCCCCCGAGGUGAAAACAGUGAACAUGAUCUAUGUCACUCACAUUCCCAAAAGGGAGCGCAAGCGCACAUUAAGGGACGUCUACGCCGUAGAGCCUGUCGCCCCAAAAUUCAAACCAUGGUGAGCAUGUCCGAUCACUUUCGAUCGCAGGGAUCACCCAACCAGUAUCUGUCAUUGGGGUUCGGCCGCCCUGGUACUCGAUCCAAUUAUCGAUGGAUACCAUCUUACUUGAGUCCUUAUGGACGGUGGCAGCUGUCUCAACUUAAUUUAUCAAGACACUAUCCGCAAGAUGGGCAUUGACCCAUCAAGAAUCAAGCCUAGUAACACUGCCUUUAAAGGUGUGAUACCCGGCGUGGAGGCCCGUUGUACGGGCUCACUAACACUGGGGGUAGUAUUCGGCUCCCCAGACAACUUCCGAAGUGAAGAACUGAUCUUCAACAUCGUCCCCUUCCGCAGUGGUUAUCACGCACUGCUCGGACGAACCGCUUUCGCCCGCUUUAAUGCAGUCCCGCACUAUGCUUAUUUGAAGCUUAAGAUGCCCAGACCACACGGUGUCAUUAUAGUCAAUGGAAAUAUGGAGUGCUCCCUCCGUACUGAAGAGCAUACCGUGGCCCUUGCAGCCGAGGUGUAUGGCGACCUUAUCAAGCCGUAUAAUUUGUUGGACAUUAAAGCCAACAACAUCUCUAAAUGAGUCUGGUCCGCGCAUCAUUGCGAUAACUCGACAAAUCCGGACCCCGAUUAGCAAUUCGGCAUCCGCCGAUCACCCCAUAAGGUUGCGGCUCACAUACCGCACAUACAUAACUACACACUCAAAAUACCUUAGCAACGCCGGAGGCGGGCCGAGGGAAAAAUUCCAUAGUACGGCUUGACCCUAUUGGGACCUCAUACAUUGUUUUUCACUACAGGUUCAUUAAGAGCCCUAUUUGUUGUACGGUUGCAUCAGGGAUCCUUUCAAGGCUAGUGUUUCCCUCCUUUACGACCAACCAUCAAAUACUCCUAUCAAAGGAUUUGUUACUAAGGAGAAAUGGCGCAGACGUGCGACAGGGCAUCACUAGAGUCUUCGAACUAUUACUUUUAGGCCCUGUGCUAGACUUUCCCUUAUGUAAUAUUUUUAGGCAUGUAACAUGACCUUAAUAUUCAUGGCAUUGUCUGUCGAAGCACACCUCGACUUAUUGAUAAGGAUAUAAAGGAAGCAGAUGAUCACCACCUUUUUGUUGGGCUGUUAUAUUCUCUUGUCAUGUGUAUUCCCUCCUUGUUUUCGAAUGACAUACAUGCUUCAGCACGGCCUUCAUACCAGGGGAUGUACUCGGCCUCGCAAACUCUUAAGUCUGAACACCUAUAGGGAACUCUUCGGCGUCCCGGAUAUUGCACUAUAUGCAUCGGCUCAGAAUCAUGUCUUUGGUCUAUAGUUGGGUUGCCCGGCUCCUGUGUUUGCCACCUUACGUUUCGCAAGUUCGGCUAAGGUAGCAAAGGGAGAACUACUGCGAUUGUAUUUCUGGUUCGUCCGGUUAAGUACCUCAAUAGAGAAAGCCGAUAAUUGACUGUCAUGAUAGGCGAGAGCGGGUCAGCGAUCCGGUGACUUAGUGUUAUACUACAAAUCGUUCGCGAGUUAUGCCGUGUUAUACGAGGGGCUGGGAUUUGACCAGCCAUGUUGCAAAUGCACCAUAAUCCAGAUUUCCGUUCAUGCAACAGGGGCUAGUACUUAGCCCCACCAAUGGACUCUUAUGGCUAGGUGAAAAUAAUAAAGCCACAUAGUCUGAUUGCCUAGUUCAUUGCAAGACGCCUCCUAUGUAGGAUCAAUACGUUGGAUAAAGUGCAGACAUGCGUUCCCAAACACCCCUGUAAUAUUUACAUGGGGGCAGAAGCGGACGACUGGUAAUUUUAGACUUAUAAAAUAAAUGGCCAAACAGGAGGAUAAACUAAAAAAAUCAUAAAGUGCAAGCAUAAAUAUUUCACAUUAUGAGUUCAUUACAUGGUUCUUACAAACCGGACUCCACUACUCAAAUAUGAUAUCCUUUGAGCAUUGACCCUCUACAAUGUGGGCUCCCUCGAGGACCUCACUGAAGUACCUCUCUGGCCUCCGGUGAUCCUUGCCUUCAGGCGUCCCUAUGGUGGUAAUUUCAGUGGCCUUCAUCUUCGCCCAUUGCACCUUGAUGCGGGCAAAGGCCAUCCGAGAACCUUCUAUGCAGGUCGACUGCUUUAUGGCGUCAACCCGAGGGCACACUUCGACCAGCCGCUUCACGAGUCCGAAGUAGCUGCUGGGUAUGGGCUCGGCUGGCCAAAGUUGGACUAUUACGUCCUUCCUGGCCAACCCAGCCACCCUAUGCAGCUCGGUCAACUGCUUCAGCUGAUCAUUGAGGGGCGCCGGAUGCUUUGGCACAAGGUACUGCGACCAGGACAACUUCUCUAUUGAGCUCCCCUCUUCGGCUCGGAAGAACUCUGUGGUGUCAGCAACACUCCCCGGCAGAUCCACAAACAUGCCUGGAGAACUCCAAACUUGGGUCAGCAUGAUAUAUCUCUUACUGACAAAUUUAUUAUGUAGAAGAAAAGCCUUACCAGCUACUAUCUUCCUCGUCUGCUGGAUCUCCUGGCGGGCGCUCUGGGACUCAAUCCGGGCUUCCUUGAUAUCCUGGAGAGCUUUGGCGAGUUCGGAGGUUUGCUCCGAACUCUUCUGCUCCAAGGACUCACACUUGGUAAUGGCAUCCUUGAGUUGUUGCUCAACUUCGCCUACCCGAGCCUCGUGUUUCCGGCGGGAAGUUUGCUCCACCUCCAGCUCCUUCGCCGCCUUGUCAGCGGCUGACCUGCUCAUCUCCGUGACUUUCUUGGCUUGGGCAAGUGCGCUCUUGAGGGACUCAACCUCGGCUGCGCCAACUAUGAUUACAAUCAUAAAAUUACAACUUUUGGUAUGUAAGUUCCGCAUACCUUGCAUUUCGUCAAACAGCUUAUUGACGCGGUCGAGCUUCUCAUCGGCUAAUCUAAUUUUUCGAUUGAGCUCAGAAACCUCUGCGGCUUGGGCAGUAGCCGACAACAUGGAUGCAUGUCCCACACAAUAGCAUAGUACGUUAGUAACUUGUUUUGGGAUCCUCUGUCCGGAUUGUUCUAAUCCGGACAGAGUCUUAGGGGCUACUGUCUAUACAUAGGUUUAUCCUUCUAUAUAAAGAAAACUUGUUAGAAAAUUACAUCCCAUACCUCAAAGCCUGUCAGUAGGCUGUUGAAGGCUCCGUUCAGUCCGCUUUCCGUAGACUGAAUCUUUUCCAUAACCGCACGCAUCAAGGUGUGGUGCUCCUCCACGAUGGAAGCAUGUUGCAGCGCUUCCUCCAGAGUAUGAGCGGCCUUCGGAUUAAUAGAGGCAGCCGAUUGAGCUGCUGCUCCCCCCCUCUGUCAAAGGGGGUUGUUGAUCCAGACCCAGAGCCACAUUGGUCUCCGGGACGGUGUUCGGUGAGGGCCCAAAUUGUUGAGACCAUCCACCCUCGGUGGUUGUGGGGGUCGUCGUGCCCCGAUCGGCGACAUCCGAGGUAUUAACCAUGGGCGCCUUCUAGACAGCCUCGUCCGCCCCUCCUCGGCCAGGGGAGGUCCUUUGGGAUGACACCUCAGUGUCCUGCAUGGCAUGGGGAGAGAGGGCUGGCGAUGGUCCGACACUCUCUGCCUCUUCAGGCGCCAGAGAGUCCCCCCACGAGGACGAGGUGUUCGGAAUAUUGCGUGGAGGGCUCAAAAGUAAACGAAGACAUAAUUUAUAUGACAAAGGAAGGUAAGCGGAACCUGAACAAGUAAGGUUUUGAUACUUACAAUUCGGCCAGGGGCUUAACCCUGGGGGCUCUACUCGGGCAGUGUUCGGACUCUGAGUCCGAACUAACCGAGAAGGUAAUCUUCUUCCUCUUCGGUGUCGCCUCCUCCAGAUUCUCGAAGGCCGUCCUAUUUUUCCUCCUUGUUUUGCAAGGGGAGUCUCUCUCCACCACCUCCUCCUCCUCCUCUUCGUCCUCAUCUUCCUCAUGAGAGGAGAUGACCUUGAUUUCUCCGGACACAAUGUCCGAAGGACCUCUGUAGCGGGGCCCGCCCUUUGGCUCCUUGCCCUUCUUCUCUUGCGCUUGGUAGGGCACCAGGACCAGCAUCUCCGCUAGCUGGGGAGUGGCUGGGUCUUCGGGCAAUGGAGCCGGACUCUUGAUCCGCUCCGCUUUCUUUAUCCAGCCCUAUAAAGAGGUGGGUUGAUAAGAUUCAUAGUGGUCAAAAAUAUAGGUCGGACAUAUCUUCGGAAAACUAAUACUUACUGGAGUGGCCGGAUUCUCGGCUUCAAGACCGAUAUCUUCGGUCUCCAUGGGCCAGCUCUUCUGGGCCUUGAAAAGCAGCUUCCAAAUACCUUCAUGCGUUGUGCCAAGGAAGUGCUGCAGGGUCUACGACUCCUCCGGAUUGAACUCCCACAUGGGGGAAGUCCGGCGUUGGCAGGGGAGGAUGCGCGAAAGAGCAUGAUAUGCACCACAUUGGUGAGGCCGACAUUCUUACCCAGCACGUUGGUGAUGUGCGUUUGCAGCGUCUGCACCUUCGUCUGGGACCCCCAGUCGAGGCCCUUAGCAGUCCAUGAAAUGAGCCUUGGUCCGGAUCUGAACUACGGAAUCGCCGCUCAGUUGGUGCAGCGCGGCUCGGUGAUGUAAAACCACUCUUGGUGCCAGACCUUGACGGUCUCGACAAAGGCCCCCUUGGGCCAUGUGGCGUUGGGCAUUUUGCUUAUCAUAGCCCCACUGUAGUCCGUGUGCUGCCCGUCAACCACCUUCGGCUUCACGUUGAGGACUUUUAGCCAUGGGCCAAAGUGUGGGGGGAUGAAGAGUAAAGCCUCGCACACGACGAUAAACGCCGAGAUGUGAAGGAAAGAGUUCUGGGCUAGAUCAUGGAAAUCUAGCCCGUAAUAGAACAUGAGUCCCCAGACGAAGGGAUGGAGUGGAAAACCCUCUAAGUAAAUAGGGGAGGAAAACGACCCUUUUGCCGGGCUCUGGAGUGGGGAUGAUUUGACCUUUGGUGGGGAGCCUGUGUGCGAUGUCUGCAGCUAGGUACCCCGCGCUUCGGAGAUUCUUCACCUCCUUCUCUAUAACGGAGGAGGCCCCCCACUUUCCCUUGGAACCGGAUCUAGCCAUGGCUGGAGAGGGUGGUGGGGGUGGGGAAGAAGGAAGCCUUUUCGGGCGCUAAGAGCUUGGGAGAUUGGAAGGCAGAGGCUAGAAGAAGGAGUGGGAAAGAAAGGAGGAAUCUAUUGCCCUCUUAUAGGUGGUAAAAAUGCCAAUCGUCCCCCCACUUAUGCGUCGAAACUCGCCUGUUCCCAACAUAAGCACCCGCCGUAAACGGUGGGAUUACCCAAAUCUUAUUAUGAGCGAUCCCGUAAUAAGUGGGCAUGAUCUCUAUUUUGACAAGACGGGCCGAGGGGGCUCGACCUCGAAACGCGGAACGUGGAGUGUGAAAAUGAUUCAAAAUGCUGAAGGGUCAAGUCUGACGCUUCAUCGGAAAAAAGUUGCCAGUAAAGACACUGUUCCUAUUUAUUAUAUAUUAUUCCUUCGCAGCUAAGGGUUGUGUUAAUUCUGCAAAGCCGAAUACAGUUCUUUUAUGGAGGAAAGCUGAUGUAUAUUGUUCAGGGAACCCGCCUCACAAUGUCGAAGACAAUCUGCACGCCGAACACGUCGUCAUUGAAGACUAGUUCAGGGGAUACUGAGGGAGUCCUGGACUAAGGGGUCCUCGGGCGUCCGGUCUAUUCGAUACGGGCCGGACUAAUGCGCCUUCAAGAUACAUGGAAGAUGACCACCUCUCGUGUCCGUUUAGGACUCCCGUAUGGGUGAACGACAAGUUUAGGUGUCCGGAUAUACUAUUUCCUUUCUUUUAAACCGACUUUGUACAACCCCUAGCCCCUCCAGUAUCUAUAUAAAUCGGAGGGUUUAAACCGAAGGCAAGAUCAUAACAUUGAUAGGCUAGCCAAGCUAGGGUUUAUCCAUUACGAUCUCGAGGUAGAUCAACACUUGUAACCCCUAUACUCAUUGAAUGUAAUCAAGCAGGAGUAGGGUUUUACCUCCAUUAAGAGGGCCCAAACCUGGGUAAACAUUGUGUCCCUUUGAUCAUUGUUACCAUCGAUCCUCAAACAUACAGCUUGGGCCCCCUACCCGAGAUCUACCGGUUUUGACACCGACAGUGACCAGCUUGGUCCAUCACUUUCACCGACAGUGCAAGAGAGGUUAACUAAUUUGACUUAGGAGUGGAUUAAUUUUUUGUUUUGUCUUGAUAUAGAUCAUGAUGUGAGAUUACAUAUAUAUAUAAUAGCGCAUCUGUACACAUGAAUCCAUCCCGCUGGAUCUAAGGGGGGGAGCACACGGCAUGUCAUGAACGACCUCUUGCUCUGUGUGGGGACCUCUGCGAUUUUCAACUCAUGCACCACAUCAAUGUUGUGCAUUGGGUCGGGUAUUCAACACAUAUGCAUGAAUCACACACCUCCGUCAAUAUGUUCGGGACACACACAUACAAUAAUGGUUGUCUUUGGACACACUCUCACUCCCUUGGUUAUGGGCGGCAAGCCUAUAUAUAUUCGUGGGCCUGCGUGGACGUCCAUCAUUUCGACCAACGACGAGAAAGUUUACCAGGGUGGAUAUAUUCUUCUUCUUUGCUUUGAGCUACCGUAUAGUAGGUCGACCCAGUCCAUGCCUAAUUAAGUUUGAGUGCAUGCUAUUUGUCGUGAUCCCUCGCUCGGCAUGGGGAUUUUACGGUUCCAAAGCAUGGUGCCACAUCAAAUUUGCGCAUUGGGUAUUCAAACACCACACACACCACUUCCAUAUACAUACUUGGGCCACAUGCACAUAGUGGGUUUGUCUUCAUACAAUACUCCCUCAUGAGGUUAUCGGCAACAAGCUAGCCCAUUUUGCGGGGCCGUGUGGAUGUCCAUCACUUUGACCAACAACGAGCGGGGAGAGAUUGUACGACCAAGUUAGAUUCUGCUUGGUCCGUGUUACAAUAUGUCUUGNNNNNNNNNNNNNNNNNNNNNNNNNNNNNNNNNNNNNNNNNNNNNNNNNNNNNNNNNNNNNNNNNNNNNNNNNNNNNNNNNNNNNNNNNNNNNNNNNNNNNNNNNNNNNNNNNNNNNNNNNNNNNNNNNNNNNNNNNNNNNNNNNNNNNNNNNNNNNNNNNNNNNNNNNNNNNNNNNNNNNNNNNNNNNNNNNNNNNNNNNNNNNNNNNNNNNNNNNNNNNNNNNNNNNNNNNNNNNNNNNNNNNNNNNNNNNNNNNNNNNNNNNNNNNNNNNNNNNNNNNNNNNNNNNNNNNNNNNNNNNNNNNNNNNNNNNNNNNNNNNNNNNNNNNNNNNNNNNNNNNNNNNNNNNNNNNNNAAUUUGCGAGGCACACGUGACACAUCAAAAGUUAUGAAUGGUAGUCAAAUAUCACACACCACACCCUUUUCAUACAUAUAGUAGGGCCACCUGCAUGUGGUUCGUAUGUGGUCUAGCCCUUCUCGCGCCACAAGCACACAAUUGUGGGUCGGCACACAGUCCACCUUUAUUGGGAAGCGAAAAGGGAAGUUUGACCAUAUAUAUAUAUAUAUAUAUAUAUAUAUAUAUAUAUAUAUAUAUAUAUAUACACACAGACGGUCUAUUCUGCUAAUAUUAGCAGAAUAACUAUUCUGCACACCACUUCCACACUGCACGCUGAACGCAAGUGCACGUCAUUCUUUGAACCAAGUGUGCUGCAGUACUCACACGAGUGAACUUCUCGUCGGAAAAAACUGCAUGCGUUAUUUUUUUGGUACUGUUUUCGCUCUAAUUUUUUAACCGUUUAUCGGAAUGAGGCGUGUAAUAUACCGUUGAAAAGCUAUGGAUUAGGCGCAACUUCGACAUGUUGAACACUUUUCGAGAUUCCACACGGUUUAAGAGCAGUUUUGAAAAUGGUGUGGCGGAUGACGAGUGACAGCGAGUGUUUUUUCGUGUUUUGUUCUAAACCACUUGUCGGAAUGAAGCAAAUGAUAGGCCGUUGGAUAGAUAUCAUUGAGGCGCAUCUUUUCCAUAUAUAAAUCUUUCUCUAAUUCGUUACGGUUUAAGAGCAGUUUCAAAUUUCCUAAAUCGCGGAAUUUUGUUUUUCAAGUUUUUUAAAAUUUUCGGUACUGUUUUCACUCCAGUUUUUUAACCGUUUGUCGAAACGAGGCGUGUGAUACGCCAUUGGAAAUCAACGGACGAGGCACAACUUUCGUAUGUUGAAACAUUUUUGAGAUUCCUUACGGUUUUAUGUUAAUUUUGAAAAUCGUGUGGUGAAUGAUGAGAGGCGGCGGCCGGUUUUUCUUAAUUUUUUUCAAACCGCUCGGCGGAAUGAUGCAAAUGAUACAUCAUCGGAAAGAUAUCGACGAGGCACAACUUUUUCAUGUAGAACACGCUCUCUAAUUCCUUACGGUUUAAGAGCAGUUUUAAAAUUACUAAAAUGCGGAUACUCUGUUUUUUGAUACACCAAAACCGACGUGUGUACUGCAUCAGACAGAAGAACACACUGCUUCGGACAGAAAACCGCACUACAUCAGACAGUCAAGCGAACUUCAUGAUUUGUCUUCUCGGGCGUAAAUUUUCUCAGAUGAGCUUUUUUGUGAGUUGUUGUUGUCACUUUUUUAUGAACGACAAAAGAACGCACUGCUUCGGACGGAAAGCCACACUGCAUCAAACAGUCAAGCGAACUUCAUGAUUUGUCUUGUCGGGCGUAAAUUUUCUCAGAUGAGCUUUUUGUGAGUUUUUGUUAUCAUUUUUUUAUGAAAUACAGGAGAACGCACUGAUUUGGAUGGAAAACCACACUGCAUCAGAGAGUCAAAUGAACUUCAUGGUUUCUUUCGUCAUUUUAUAAAAAAAUAGUUUUCUUUUGACUUUUUUUUUCUAACAAGUGGACCGCAAAGACUGAGCGAGUGAACUACGUCUGAUAAGAAGCGAACCUCUUCGAGAAUGUUUCGGUUUCCGUUGAAUUUCUUUAGUCUCAUCUGGACUACAUGGUCAAUGUUUAGUGAGCUGCAUGAAAGGGAAAAAUGGACUGCAUUAAAAAUCACAUUGCAUCAAAAGAAUGUUACCUCCUACCAACAUUAUUUUUUGAUUUUUUAAAGAACAAGUGAACCGCACAAAAACACAAAGUACUGCACGAUCGAGCCAAACAAAAUGCACGCACACAUUCUGUUUUUGAGCCACUAUCUAUGGUCGCUGAUGAUGUUCAUGGGGCACAAUACACCCAUCAAUUGUUUUACACAACCACACAUACAUACAUACACAGAAAAUCAGCACUAGCACCUGCCAGAGCUGCAAGAGAGGAUCAUCAGAGCUGUAUUUGGGGACCAACCGAGCUGCACAAAAUCAGAAACCUGCAAAUGUAGCUAACGAUGACACAAAUCUGUAAAAUCAACAGAAAAACUAGUAACUGGUCGCCCAACCGCACCGCACCAUGAGCACAAGCAAACUGCAGUGCUGUGCACUAGCAAAAUCUGAAGAAUUUUCUUUCUGAACUGCAAUAGAACCAGCACGCCGACGCCUGCAAACGAAUUUGGAACAUGCAAGAGCUGGGCUCGUGCAAGUGUACUGCAUAGCUGGCCGGAGUCAAUGAUCCCCACGGCAACGCUGCUGGAGCUACUCAUCAAGGGGAAGGACCCCUUUUGUGUGACCCCUCACCCGCAAGCCACCGGAGCAGCAACUCCCAACCGCCGGCACACCAGCGAUUGAAUCUAGGGGUGGGGGGGGGAGGUCUGUGGUGGCGUCACGUUGCAGAUCAAGGGGGAAUGGGAGGAGCGCACCAGGACGGCGCGGAACGGCACAGACGCCCUGGUCGAUGGGGAGUAGAGCACACCAAGUAGCUGCAAGGCCAACCGAAUUGCACGCCGACCCUUCUCCUUCUCCGGCACGCUGGCCCUGCUCUGCCAGCCCUCGCGCCGCCGCCCUGCCCAUCCCUUGGAGGGAAGGCGUCACCACUGCCUCCAUCCCUG